RNAcentral lists this long non-coding RNA (86746 nucleotides) under Triticum aestivum (bread wheat). Its description in RNAcentral is "long non-coding RNA (TAES_LNC019670)". The record is from RNAcentral. Lineage: Eukaryota; Viridiplantae; Streptophyta; Magnoliopsida; Poales; Poaceae.
UCCGGGCCGACGGUCUCGGUGAGCAUCAGGUUCUCGCCGGUCUCGCCCUCCAGCUUGGCGAUGGCGGCGUCGAUCUCCUGGAGGGCGCCGUACUUGAGGUCGGCGACCCGGGCCAGGUCCAUGCGCCGCUCGGCCUCCUGCAGCGUGAACUGCAGCUCCUCGCGCCGCUGCUUCAGCUUCCGGAUCUCGUCGAUCCGCUCCUUCUCCUUCCUGUACUUCAUGGUCAGCGGCUGCAGCUUGUCCCUCAGGUCGUCCAGCUCCUUCCUCACCUCCACCAGCCGGGCCUUGCUGGCCUUGUCCUUCUCCUUCUCCAGCGCGUGCAGCUCCACCUCCAGCUGAAUCCGCUUCCUCUCCAGGUUGUCGAUCUCCUCCGGCUGGCUGUCCAGCUGCACCCUCACGUUGGCGCACGCCUCGUCCACCAGGUCGAUGGCCUUGUCCGGCAGGUGCCGGCCCAUGAUGUACCUCGCCGAGAGCUGCGCCGCGACGACGAUGGCGCGGUCCUGGAUGCGCACGCCGUGGUGCCCCUCGUACUUCUCCUUGAGCCCUCGCAGGAUGCUGAUGGUGUCGGCGACGCUCGGCUCGGCCACGUACACCUGCUGGAACCGCCGCUCGAACGCGGCGUCCUUCUCGACGUACUUGCGGUACUCCUCCAGCGUGGUGGCGCCGAUGCACCGGAGCUGGCCCCUGGCGAGCAUCGGCUUGAACAGGUUGGCGGCGUCCAUGGACCCCUCCGUCCUCCCGGCGCCGAGGACGAGGUGUAUCUCGUCGAUGAAGAGGAUGACCUUGCCCUCGGCCUCCUCCACCUCCUUGAGCACGGCCUUGAGCCGCUCCUCGAACUCGCCGCGGUACUUGGCGCCGGCGACGAGCGCGCCCAUGUCGAGCGCGACGAGGCGGACGUCGAGCAGGUUGCUGGGCACGUCCCCGCGCACGACGCGCUGCGCGAGGCCCUCCACGACGGCCGUCUUGCCCACGCCGGGCUCGCCGAUGAGGACGGGGUUGUUCUUUGUGCGGCGGGAGAGGAUGCGCACGACGCGGCGGAUCUCCUCGUCGCGGCCGAUGACGGGGUCGAGCUUGCCGGCCACCUCGACGAGGUCGCGGCCGUACGUCUUGAGCGCCUGGAAGUUGGUGUCGCCGGAGGCGGACUCGACCUUGCGCGAGUUGUCCCCGCCGCGGAGCUUCUCGAGCUCGGCGCGCACCCGCGAGGCGGACACGCCGGCCUCCUUGAGGCAGUCGGCGAUCUGCGCGUCCUCGAGGAGGCCCAUGAGCAGCUGGUCGACGGCGAGGUGCGAGUCCCCGCGCUUCUUCUGCGCGGACUGCGCGCGCCGGAUGGCCUUGAUGAGCGCCGUGGAGGCCGGCACGGAGUCCGGCGGGGGGGACUGCGACGGCAGCUUCUUGAGCGCGCCGGAGAGCACGCGCUCGAACGAGUCCCCCGCGGACGCGUUCCCGCCGGACGCCCCCGCGACCGCCUGGCGCAGUAUGCCCGACUUGUCCGCCGCCAGCGCCGCCGCCAGGUGCAGCGGCGUGAUCUGCGCGUGGCCGGCCUCCGACGCCGCCUCGUGCGCCGCCACCAGCGCCUCGUUGGUCUUGUGCGUGAAGUUGUCCGGGUUCAUGGCUGCUGCUGCUUGCGCUCGCGCUCUACAAUGGAUCGAACUGACAAGAUUUUGGGUUGGAAGAUUGAUUGGGAUCGGCGAGUGUUUGUGGGAUUGCUCUGCUUCUGGAUUCUGAUGGUGCUGGGGGCCGGAGGGCGGUGGGCAUAAGAAGGAGGGAGCGGAGAGUUCGCCGGGAGUCUAGAAGGUAGUGGAAGCCGCCGGAAACGGAAGCGGCGAGAUGGCACGGGAGUGUUCGUCUGACACUAUGGGGCCGUGCGCUCUCCUGGCCGUUGGAUUGGCAGGGGCAGGGCCUCCGAUGCGCGACGUUUGUAUCUGCAGUGGAUGCGGUUGCUCGGUGUCGGCUUUCUCCGGGUCUGUAUCUAGGCGGUAGUGCCUGACCUGUGGGGCUAGGUGAGUCCACCGCUGGGUCCCACGCACCAUUUCUGGACCUUUUUUCCGUUCCAUCCAACAAGUUCAUGGCGGAACCGAUCCAGUCACGAGGUUUUCUGCUGACUCCGGUGCCUGGGGCAAUGACACGUCCGCGUUGCCAACGCCAGAUGUCAAAAUGCUCCGGGUCGCGCGGUCCAAGUGUCAAUGCCCAGGGAACACGCACGCUUCACUAGUGGCUGUUCGGAUAAGAAGUGCUACCCCCUCAUCGUUUACAGUACUUCCGCUUGUGUUUUCGGUCAUAUUAAUCAUGAUUUAAACUAAUAAAAUAAAAUUAUAUGUAGCAAAAAUUUUAUUAUUAAAAACAACAUUUAAAUAUGACUAGUAAUUUUUUGUGUGACAUGCAUUAAUAUUCUACUAAUCAAAGACAUGGUUAUACUUUAACUCAAUGCGUUGGGACUCACGACAGCUUCAACCCUAUCCUUCAAAUCGAACACAUUCGUUCACGGACUGAUGGGACCAGUCCACAGGCAAUGAUGUAGAAGCCGACCAUCCAAAGCUUCCUGCAUACAUUUUAAACCAAAUUGCGAAUAAACCUUCUGAGACGCAGUCCAAGCGCCGGCGCCCUAAACGCCGUUCUAAGCCUCGUCGCUCGAAAGACGGCAACACUGGCACCGGAGAAAAUAGUACUCCGGGCGACGCCGAAAACAAUGAAGACCCUGUGGGAGCCGCAUCCGAACAGGAGGAACAAGACAACGGGCAAAAUAACCCUGAUAAACAGGCCGUGCCCAACGACCCAGAUGACGAUAGCUAUCGUCCAGUCUCCGACGAUGAGGAAAGCCUCGGCAGCGAGGAUUUCAUCGUGCCUGAGGCACCCCUCGAGCAGGAGCGCUUCAAGCGCCAGCUAAUAGCUACUGCAAGAAGCCUAAAGAAAAAGCAGCAGCAGCUCCAAGUCGAUCAAGACCUACUCAUUGACAGAUGGACCGAUGUCCUGGCAACCGAAGAAAACGACCUCAAGCGCCCAGCCAAGAGUUACCCAAAGCGCAGACUGCUACCUCAGUUCGAUGAGGAGGCACCAAAUCCCAUACCUCCCUCGCGUAACGCGGAACGACCAGCACGCGGUCGGGAUAGUGCGGCAGGCCGACCACCCCGUGGUCGGGAUAAAACGGCAACUCAGGCCGAACAACAGCCCGCCCCACCGCCUCGCAAAAACAGGGACAAAACAGCUCGGGACCAUACAUACGACCUUCGACGGGACCUGGACAGUAGAGCAGGACACACCAUAUCAAUCUACGGAUCGCGAGGACGCUUCCCCACUCGGGAUGACAGCCACCUAUUCGGACGUGACAAACUUAAUCACAUCCGGGCCGAUAACCGCAGACGGACUUCAUCGGAGGUGCGCUGUGACGCGGCCCGCUAUAGAGGCGCCGGACACCCUCUCUGCUUCACAGAGGAGGUGCUGGAUCACGAAUUCCCCGAGGGGUUCAAGCUCGUCAAAUAUUGAAUCAUACGACGAAACAACCGAUCCCGCAGUGUGGAUCGAAGAUUUUAUUCUCUACAUCCACAUGACCCGAGGAGAUGACCUCCACGCUAUCAAAUACCUCCCAUUAAAGCUCAAAGGACCAGCUCGACACUGGCUAAACAGCCUGCCCGAAAAUUCCAUCGGCAGCUGGGAGGACUUGGAAGAAGCUUUUCUUGACAACUUCCAAGGCACUUAUGUCCGGCCACCUGACGCCGAUGACUUAAGUCACAUAGUUCAACAACCUGGAGAGUCCGCCAAAAAAUUCUGGACUAGGUUCUUAACCAAAAAGAACUAGAUCGUCGACUGUCCGGAUGCCGAAGCCCUAGCGGCCUUUAAACAUAGCAUCCGUGACGCCCGCCACCUCGGCCAAGAAAAGCAGAGGUCCAUGGCAGCCCUCACGAUACUUAUGACCCGCUUUUGUGCGGGAGAGGAUAGUUGGCUGGCUCGUAGUACAAACACAACCAACGAAGCAGGCCCCUUCGAGGCCAAAAACAGCACCAGCAAGCUCCGGCGCAACAGACACAAACGCCGAAGCAAUGGCGAUAACACUGAUGACACUACAGUUCACGCCGGAUUCAGUGGCUCCAAGUCCGGCCAGCGAAAGAAGCCCUAUAAAAGGAACGGCGGAGGACCAUCCAGCUUGGACCGCAUACUCGAUCGUCCGUGCCCGAUACAUGGCACCCCAGACAAACCGGCAAACCAUACUAACAGAGAUUGCCGGGUCUUUAAGCAAGCCAGCAAGAUAAAUAGCGGAAACAAGGAAGGGGAAUCGCAGAGCAAGGACGAUGAUGAGGAGCUUCGGCAGCCGACACUGGGGGCAGAAGAAAUUUCCCCCUCAAGUCAAAACGGUGAACAUGAUAUACGCUACUCACAUCCCAAAAGGGAGCGCAAGCGAGCACUCAGGGACGUCUACGCGGUAGAGCCAGUUGCCCCAAAAUUCAAUCCAUGGUCGUCAUUCCCGAUCACCUUCGAUCGUCGAGAUCAUCCAACUAGUAUCCGACAUGGCGGUGCAGCCGCACUGGUCCUCGACCCGAUCAUCGACGGAUUUCACCUAACGCGAGUCCUAAUGGACGGUGGUAGCAGCCUCAACCUGCUCUAUCAGGACACAGCACGGAAGAUGGGCAUUAAUCCCUCACGAAUCAAACCCACAAAUACUACCUUUAAAGGAGUCAUACCAGGCAUAGAGGCCUGUUGUACGAGCUCAAUCACGCAGGAGGUGGUCCUCGGUUCCUCGGACAACUUCCGAAGCGAAGAGUUAAUCUUCGAUAUCGCCCCCUUCCGCAGCGGCUACCACGCACUGCUAGGGCGAACCGCGUUUGCUAGAUUCAACGCGGUGCCACAUUAUGCUUAUCUCAAGCUCAAGAUGCCCAGUCCACGCGGCAUCAUUACAGUAAAUGGAAACACGGAACGUUCCCUCCGCAUAGAGGAACACACCGCAACCCUAGCAGCGGAAGUACUGAGCGGCCUUAUCAAGCGGCACCAUAAUCCGGCCGCCGAGCCCCUGGACAUCGUCAAGAAGAUCCGGACUACACUGCAACAGGGCAGCUCUGUUCGUCAAGAGCUGAAUUAGUAAUUCGGCCUCCGUCUCAUCCCCGAUGAGGAAAUGGCAUUCGUACAACGCGUACAUAACUAUGCACUCAAAACCCCAUGGGGACUGACGGAGGCAUAACUCGCUCGCGACCCACAGUGCGGCUUUACCGACCCUGGGAUUUCCACGUCUUUACUGUCCCUUUUCAUUUCAGGUUUUUCCCCUUUUCAAGGUCUAUGCGGACGACCCGCUUGUAGAACACACCAAGGAGGCAAGGAGCUCUGACAUACAAGGGAAUCCCCAGGUGGUCUCUAAACGAUUGCCAUACCUGUUUUACUUGCCCGCACGCAGCUCGCCCUUGGUUGCGGCAUAUUAAAUAGCCUUACUUGCUUAUCGCAUUACUUGCACAAAGUACGCCUCGACGUACUAAUUACAUAACAAUGGUGAAUAAAUAGUGGCGUCAGCUUAUUACUUAAUUUUUUAUGUUUACUCACCUUUGUAUUUAUCACUCAUUGCACACGUAUAUCAUGGUACGUAUUGCCACGCCAGGGGCUUCACUACGCCCCACAUUACGGCAAUAAAAGUCCGAACACUUUUACAGUAUAGUUCGGCACUCCGAACUUAUAGCAUUAUAUGCAUCGGCUCCGAAUCAUGUCUUUGGUCAAUAGUUGGGUUGCCCGGCUCCUGUGCUUACUACCUUACGUUCCGCUAUAUCGGCUAGGGUAGUAAAGGGAGAACUACUGCGAUUGUGUCCCGGUUCUUCCGGACGAGCACCUCAGUAGAGAAAGCCGAAAGCUGACUGUCAUGAUGCGGCGAGAGCCGGUCAGCUGUUCGAGAGGUCCAAAAUCGUUAGAGAUUUUUUCCGCUUCUUGCGAAGAAUCGGUUCUCCCGAUUAGGUGAGUACAACGCCCCUAGUUCGACCAUCCGAAUACCAGGGGCUUCGCCGACUUUCUUAAUUGUCAAGCUCCUAUGGCUAAGUGAGGGCGAUAAAGGCCGCAUAGUCUGAUUGCCUUGUUCGUUGAGCUAAACACCUCCUUUAAGGACCAGAAUAUGGAGUAAAGAGUGUUUAGAUUUAUCCCGAACACCCCCGUACUAUCUACGUGGGGGGAGAAGCCGACGACUGGUCAACCCUCAAAUUUCAUAAACGGCCGCACAAGAGGUAAAAUGUAAAUCAAAAGCAUCAUAUUAUAUAACAUAAUCGUUCCAUAUUACAGGGCAAGAUAAUACAAAUAUUCUCAUGGGAACAUGACAUCCUUCGAACAUUGCUCCGCCACAAGGCGGGACCCCUCCAGGACACCAUCAAAAUAGAGCUCGGGUCGACGAUGCUCCUUGACCUCCGGCGGCUCCUCGGUCAUCAGCUUCUUGGCAUCUAGCUUUGCCCAAUGCGUCUUGACGCGGGCAAACGCCAUACGCGCACCUUCAAUACAGACCGACUGCUUCAUGACUUCGAGCCGCGGACAGGCACUUACAAGCCGAUUAACAAGCCCAAAGUAGCUGCUAGGUACAGGCUCGGCAGGCCACAGCCGGACUAUCAGGUCCUUCAUGGCUAGCUCUGCCGACCUGUGCAGCUCGACCAACUGCUUCAGCUGGUCGCUGAAGGGCACCGGAUGUUCGGGUCCAAGAUAUUGGGUCCAGAAUAGCUUCUCCGUAGACCUCCCUUCUUCGGCUCUAUAAUGUUCGGCAACAUCCGAUAUACUGCGCGGCAGAUCCAUAAACGCCCCUGGAAACCCAAAUUCGGAUAAGUACAAGGAACGUUUCUUCUACAUACUUUCUUUGCAUGGCGAAAGACUUACCCGCCGCAAUCUUCUUGGCCGCCUGAAUUUCCUGGAGGGCGUUCUGGGCUUCGGCUCGUGCAUCCUGUGCGCUCUGGCGGGCUUUCGCCAGUUUGGAUUCUUGCGCCUUACAAUCGCGCUCCAAGGACUCAAAUCUCUCGAUCGCACCCUGGAGCUGUUACUGCGCCUCGCCAACCUGAGCCUCGUGCUUCUCGCGCGUGGCGCGUUCCUUGGCCGCUUUGUCCUCGGCCUCGGCUAACGCCUUCUUGAGGGUUGCCACCUCGGUCGUGGCCCCUAAUAACGUUUAUGACACCUUAGUCCGAUGGACUAUUCUUUUUUCCUUUCUUCUUAAAAUGUACCCACAGGUUACUGCAUACCUUGGCCAUCCUCCAGCUGCUUCUUCGUGAGGCCGAGCUCCUCCUCGGCCCGCUCCAGCUUCCGCUUCAGUCCGGAGACCUCCGCAGCAUGAGAGGCGGUAGCCUGCAGCGAUACCUGCUUAUUCACAUAGACAACUUAUGUUAGACUCCUGCGAUAUUUCUUCUUGAUCCCCUGUUCGGCUUUUUUCUUUCCGAACACCAACUAGAGCAUCAGGGGCUACUGUCUAUACUGUGAUACUCUUCCUACAACCACAUUACUUACCUCAAAGCCCGAUAGAAGGCUAGUGCAGGCUUCGGUCAGUCCGCUUUUGACGAACUGAACCUUCUCUAUCACCGUGCCCAUAAGGGCGCGGUGUUCAUCCACAAUAGAGGUGCCUCACAGCGCCUCCAGUAGAUUAUCCGGUGCCUCUGGUUGGACAUGUUGGAAAUAUGCCCUAGAGGCAAUAAUAAAUUAGUUAUUAUUAUAUUUCCAUGUUCAUGAUAAUCGUUUAUUAUCCAUGCUAGAAUUGUACUGAUAGGAAACUCAGAUACAUGUGUGGAUACAUAGACAACACCAUGUCCCUAGUAAGCUUCUAGUUGACUAGCUCGUUGAUCAAUAGAUGGUUACGGUUUCCUGACCAUGGACAUUGGAUGUCGUUGAUAACGGGAUCACAUCAUUAGGAGAAUGAUGUGAUGGACAAGACCCAAUCCUAAGCCUAGCACAAGAUCGUGUAGUUCGUUUGCUCAGAGCUUUUCUAAUGUCAAGUAUCAUUUCCUUAGACCAUGAGAUUGUGCAACUCCCGGAUACCGUAGGAAUGCUUUGGGUGUACCAAACGUCACAAAGUAACUGGGUGGCUAUAAAGGUGCACUACAGGUAUCUCCGAAAGUGUCUGUUGGGUUGGCACGAAUCGAGACUGGGAUUUGUCACUCCGUGUAAACGGAGAGGUAUCUCUGGGCCCACUCGGUAGGACAUCAUCAUAAUGUGCACAAUGUGACCAAGGAGUUGAUCACGGGAUGAUGUGAUUUACGGAACGAGUAAAGAGACUUGCCGGUAACGAGAUUGAACAAGGUAUAGGGAUACCGACGAUCGAAUCUCGGGCAAGUAACAUACCGAUAGACAAAGGGAAUUGUAUACAGGAUUGAUUGAAUCCUCGACAUCGUGGUUCAUCCCAUGAGAUCAUCGAGGAGCAUGUGGGAGCCAACAUGGCUAUCCAGAUCCCGCUGUUGGUUAUUGACCGGAGAGUCAUCUCGGUCAUGUCUGCCUGUCUCCCGAACCCGUAGGGUCUACACACUUAAGGUUCGGUGAUGCUAGGGUUAUAGAGAUAUUAGUAUGCGGUAACCCGAAAGUUGUUCGGAGUCCCGGAUGAGAUCCCGGACGUCACGAGGAGUUCCGGAAUGGUCCGGAGGUAAAGAUUUAUAUAUGGGAAGUCUUAUUUUGGUCGCCGGAAAAGUUUCGCACUUUAUCGGUAUUGUACCGGGAGUGCCGAAAGGGGUCCGGGGGUCCACCAGCCCCAGGGGGCCACAUGGGCUGUAGGGGGUGCGCCUUGGCCUAUAUGGGCCAAGGGCACCAGCCCCAAGAGGCCCAUGCGCCAAGAGAUAAGAAAAAAGGAAGAGUCCUAAAGGGGGAAGGCACCUCCGAGGUGCCUUGGGGGGGGAAGGACUCCUCCCUGGCCGCACCCUUCCUUGGAGGAAGGGCCAAGGCUGCGCCCCCCCUCUCCCUUGGCCCUAUAUAUAGUGGGGGGGGGGAGGGAGGGAAGCAGCAAUCCAAGCCCUGGCGCCUCCCUCUCCCUCCCGUGACACAUCUCCCUCCUCCCGUAGCGCUUGGCGAAGCCCUGUUGGAAUCCCGCUACUUCCACCACCACGCCGUCGUGCUGCUGGAUCUCCAUCAACCUCUCCUCCCCCCUUGCUGGAUCAAGAAGGAGGAGACGUCGCUGCUCCGUACGUGUGUUGAACGCGGAGGUGCCGUCCGUUCGGCGCUAGGAUCAUCGGUGAUUUGGAUCACGACGAGUACGACUCCAUCAACCCCGUUCUCUUGAACGCUUCCGCUCGCGAUCUACAAGGGUAUGUAGAUGCACUCCCCUUCCCCUUGUUGCUAGAUUACUCCAUAGAUUGAUCUUGGUGAUGCGUAGAAAAUUUUGAAUUUCUGCUACGUUCCCCAACAGUGGCAUCAUGAGCUAGGUCUAUGCGUAGUUUCUAUGCACGAGUAGAACACAAAGUAGUUGUGGGCGUCGAUGUUGUCAAUUCUUCUUGCCGCUACUAGUCUUAUCUUGUUUCGGCGGCAUUGUGGGAUGAAGCGGCCCGGACCGACCUUACACGUACGCUUACGUGAGACAGGUUGCACCGACUGACAUGCACUAGUUGCAUAAGGUGGCUAGCGGGUGUCUGUCUCUCCCACUUUAGUCGGAACGGAUUCGAUGAAAAGGUUCCUUAUGAAGGGUAAAUAGAAAUUGGCAUAUCACGUUGUGGUUUUACGUAGGUAAGAAAUGUUCUUGCUAGAAACCUAUACAAGCCACGGAAAAACUUGCAACAACAAUUAGAGGACGUCUAACUUGUUUUUGCAGCAUGUGCUAUGUGAUGUGAUAUGGCCAGAAGAUGUGAUGAAUGAUAUAUGUGAUGUAUGAGAUUGAUCAUAUUCUUGUAAUAGGAAUCACGACUUGCAUGUCGAUGAGUAUGACAACCGGCAGGAGCCAUAGGAGUUGUCUUUAUUUUUUGUAUGACCUGCGUGUCAUUGAAUAACGCCAUGUAAAUUACUUUACUUUAUUGCUAAGCGCGUUAGCCAUAGAAGUAGAAGUAAUCGUUGGCGUGACAACUUCAUGAAGACACAAUGAUGGAGAUCAUGAUGAUGGAGAUCAUGGUGUCAUGCCGGUGACAAAGAUGAUCAUGGUGCCCCGAAGAUGGAGAUCAAAGGAGCAAAAAUGAUAUUGGCCAUAUCAUGUCACUAUUUGAUUGCAUGUGAUGUUUAUCAUGUUAUGCAUCUUAUUUGCUUAGAACGACGGUAGUAAGUAAGAUGAUCCCUCACUAAAAUUUCAAGAGACGUGUUCCCCCUAACUGUGCACCGUUGCGAAGGUUUGUUGUUUCGAAGCACCACGUGAUGAUCGGGUGUGAUAGAUUCUAACGUUCGAAUACAACGGGUGUUGACGAGCCUAGCAUGUACAGACAUGGCCUCGGAACACAUGCGAAACACUUAGGUUGACUUGACGAGCCUAGCAUGUACAGACAUGGCCUCGGAAAACGAGAGACCGAAAGGUCGAACAUGAGUCGUAUAGUAGAUACGAUCAACAUGGAGAUGUUCACCGAUGAUGACUAGUCCGUCUCACGUGAUGAUCGGACAUGGCCUAGUUUGACUCGGAUCAUGUAUCACUUAGAUGACUAGAGGGAUGUCUGUCUGAGUGGGAGUUCAUUAAUCAGAUGAACUCAAUUAUCAUGAACAUAGUCAAAAGGUCUUUGCAAAUUAUGUCAUAGCUUACGCUUUAGUUCUACUACUUAAGAUAUGUUCCUAGAGAAAAUUUAGUUGAAAGUUAAUAGUAGCAAUUAUGCGGACUGGGUCCGUAAACUGAGGAUUGUCCUCAUUGCUGCACAGAAGGCUUAUGUCCUUAAUGCACUGCUCAGUGUGCUGAACCUCAGCGUCGUCUGUAGAUGUUGCGGAACAUCUGACAUACACGUUUUGAUGACUACGUGAUAGUUCAGUGCGUAAUGCUAACGGUUUAGAAUUGUGGCGAAAAGACGGUUUUGAAACGUCGCAGAACAUAUGAGAUGUUCCAAAGACUGAAAUUGGUAUUUCAGACUAAUGCCCACGUCAAGAGGUAUGAGACCUCUGACAAGUUUCUUAAGCCUGCAAACUAAGAGAGAAAAGCUCAAUCGUUGAGCAUGUGCUCAGAUUGUCUGAGUACUACAAUCACUUGAAUCGAGUGGGAGUUAAUUUUCCAGAUGAGAUAGUGAUGGUUCUCCAUAGUCACUGCCACCAAGCUAUCAGAGCUUCGUGAUGAACUAUAACAUAUCAGGGAUAGACAUGAUGAUCCUUGAGCAACUCGCGAUGUUUGACACCGCGAAAGUAGAAAUCAAGAAGGAGCAUCAAUUGUUGAUGGUUAGUAAAACCACUAGUUUCUAGAAGGGCAAGGGCAAAAGGGAUACUUCAUGAAACAGCAAAUCAUUUGCUGCUCUAGUGAAGAAUCCCAAGGUUGAACCCAAACCCGAGACUAAGUGCUUCUGUAAUGAGGGGAACGGUCACUAAAGCAGAACUACCCUAGAUACUUGGUAGAUGAGAAGGCAGGUAAGGUCGACAGAAGUAUAUUGGAUAUACAUUAUAUGAAUGUGUACUUUACUAGUACUCCUAGCAGCACCAGGGUAUUAGAUACCGGUUCGGUUGCUAAGUGUUAGUAACUCGAAAUAAAAGCUGCGAAAUAAACGGAGACUAGCUAAAGGUGAGAUGACGAUAUGUGUUGGAAGUGUUUCCAAGGUUGAUGUGAUCAAGCAUCGCAUGCUCCCUCUACCAUCGAGAUUGGUGUUUGCGUUGAGCAUAAACAUGAUUGGAUUAUGUUUAUCGCAAUACGGUUAUUCAUUUAAGAGAAUAAUGAUUACUCUGUUUAUUUGAAUAAUACCUUCAAUGGUCUUGCACCUAAAAUGAAUCUCGAUCGUAGUGAUACACAUGUUCAUGCCAAAAGAUAUAAGAUAGUAAUGAUAGUUCCACAUACUUGUGGCACUGCCAUUUGAGUCAUAUUGGUAUAGAACGCAUGAAGAAGCUCCAUGUAGAUGGAUCUUUGGACUCAGUCGUUUUUGAAAAGAUUGAGACAUGCGAACCAUGUCUAUUGGUAUGUAUGCAUGAAGAAACUCCAUGCAGAUGGAUCGUUUGGACUCACUUGAUUUUGAAUCACUUGAGACAUGCAAAUCAUACCACAUGGGCAAGAUGAAUGAAAGGCCUCGUUUUCAGUAAUAUGGAACAAGAGAGCAACUUAUUGGAAGUAAUACAUUUUGAUGUAUGCAGUCCAAUGAGUGCUGAGGCAUGCAGUGGAUAUCGUUAUGUUCUUACUUCGUAGAUGAUUUGAGUAGAUGCUGAGUGUAUUUACUUGAUGAAACACAAGUCUGAGUUAUUGAAAGGUUCAAGUAAUUUCAGAGUGAAGUUGAAGAUCGUCAUGACAAGAGGAUAAAAUGUCUGUGAUAUGAUCAUAGAGAUGAGUAUCUGAGUUACGAGUUUGGCACACAAUUAAGACAUUGUGGAAAGUGUUUCACAAUUAAUACCGCCUGGAACACCAUAGUGUGAUGGUGUGUCCGAACAUCAUAACUGCACCCUAUUGGAUAUGGUGCAUACCAUGAUGUCUCUUAUCGAAUUACCACUAUCGUUUAUGGGUUAGGCAUUAGAGACAACCGCAUUCACUUUAAAAGGGGCACCACGCAAUUCCGUUGAGACGACACCGUUUAGAGAAACCUAAGUUGUCAUUUCUUAAAAGUUUGGGGCUGCGAUGCUUAUGUGAAAAAGUUUCAGGCUGAUAAGCUCGAACCCAAAACGGAUAAAUGCAUGUUCAUAGAAUACCCAAAACAGUUGGGUAUACCUCCUAUUUCAGAUCUGGAAGCAAAAGUAAUUGCUUCUAGAAACGAGUCCUUUCUUGAGGAAAAGUUUCUCUCGAAAGAAUUGAGUGGGAGGAUGGCGGAGACUUGAUAAGGUUAUUGAACCGUCACUUCAACUAGUGUGUAGCAGGGCACAGGAAAUUGUUCCUGUGGCACCUACACCAAUUGAAGUGGAAGCUUAUGAUAGUGAUCAUGAAACUUCGGAUCAAGUCACUACCAAACCUCGUAGGACGACGAGGAUGCGUACUACUUCAGAGUAAUGCGUGAUCCUGUCUUGGAAGUCAUGUUGUUGGACAACGAUGAACCUAUGAGCUAUGGAGAAGCGAUGGUGGGCCCAUAUUCCGACGAAUGGCUCGAAGCCAUGAAAUCCGAGAUAAAUGGAUCUUUAAGAAGAAGACGGACAUGGACGGUAAUGUUAUCGUCUAUGAAGCUCGACUUGUGGCAAAGAGUAUUUCCACAAGUUCAAGGAGUUGACUACGAUGAGAUUUUCUCAUCCGUAGCGAUGCUUAAGUCCAUUGGAAUCAUGUUAGCAUUAGCUGCAUUUAUGAAAUCUGGCAGAUGGAUGUCAAAACAAGUUUCCUUACCAGUUUUCGUAAGGAAAGGUUGUAUGUGAUACAAUCAGAAAGGUUUUGUCGAUCCUAAGGAUGCUAAUAGGUAUGCUAGCUCCAGCGAUCCUUCCAUGGACUAGAGCAAGCAUCUCGGAGUCAGAAUAUACGCUUUGAUGGAGUGAUCAAAGUUUUUGGGUUUAUACAAAGUUUGUUAGAAACUUGUAUUUACAAUAAAGUGAGUGGGAGCGCUACAACAUUUCUGAUAAGUAUAUGUGAAUGACAUAUUGUUGAUCCGAAAUGAUGUAAAAUUUCUGGAAAGCAUAAGGGUUGUUUGAAAGGAGUUUUUCAAAGGAAGACCUGGAUAAAGCUGCUUACAUAAUGGGCAUCAAGAUCUAUAGAGAUAGAUCAAGACGCCUGAUGAUACUUUCAAAGAACGCACACCUUGACGUGAUUUUGAAAGAGUUCAAAAUAGAUCAGCAAAGAAGGAGUUCUUGGCUGUGUUACAAGGUGUGAGUAUUGAGUAAGACUCAAGACCUGACCACAGCAGAAGAGAGAGAAAGGACGAAGGCCGUCCCCUAUGCUUCAGACGUAGGCUCUAUAGUAUGCUAUGCUGUGUACCGCACAUGUAGUGUGCCUUGCCAUGAGUUGGUCAAGGGGUACAAUAGUGAUCCGGGAAUGGAUCACAUGACAGCGGUCGAACUUAUCCUUAGUAUCUAGUGGACUAAGGAUUUUCUCGAUUAUGGAGGUGAAAAGGAGUUCGUCGUAAAGGGUUACGUCGAUGCAAACUUUGACACUAAUCCGGAUGACUCUGAGUAGUAAACCGGAUUCGUAUAGUAGAGCAGUUAUUUGAAAUGGCUCCAAGUAGCGCGUGGUAGCAUCCACAAGAUGACAUAGAUAUUCGUAAAGCACACACGGAUCUGAAAGGUUCAGACCCGUUGACUAAUAACCUCUCUCACAAGCAUAACAUGAUCAAACCAGAACUCAUUGAGUGUUAAUCACAUAGUGAUGUGAACUAGAUUGUUGACUCUAGUAAACUCUUUGGAUGUUAGUCACAUGGUGAUGUGACCUAUGAGUGUUAAUCACAUGGUGAUGUGGACUAGAUUAUUGACUCUAGUGCAAGUGGGAGACUGUUGGAAAUAUGCCCUAGAGGCAAUAAUAAAUUGGUUAUUAUUAUAUUUCCUUGUUCAUGAUAAUCGUUUAUUAUCCAUGCUAGAAUUGUACUGAUAGGAAACUCGGAUACAUGUGUGGAUACAUAGACAACACCAUGUCCCUAGUAAGCCUCUAGUUGACUAGCUCGUUGAUCAAUAGAUGGUUACGGUUUCCUGACCAUGGACAUUGAAUGUCGUUGAUAACGGGAUCACAUCAUUAGGAGAAUGAUGUGAUGGAAAAGACCCAAUCCUAAGCCUAGCACAAGAUCGUGUAGUUCGUUUGCUCAGAGCUUUUCUAAUGUCAAGUAUCAUUUCCUUAGACCAUGAGAUUGUGCAACUCCCGGAUACCGUAGGAAUGCUUUGGGUGUACCAAACGUCAUAACGUAACUGGGUGGCUAUAAAGGUGCACUACAGGUAUCUCCGAAAGUGUCUGUUGGGUUGGCACGAAUCGAGACUGGGAUUUGUCACUCCGUGUAAACGGAGAGGUAUCUCUGGGCCCACUCGGUAGGACAUCAUCAUAAUGUGCACAAUGUGACCAAGGAGUUGAUCACGGGAUGAUGUGAGUUACGGAACGAGUAAAGAGACUUGCCGGUAACGAGAUUGAACAAGGUAUAGGGAUACCGACGAUCGAAUCUCGGGCAAGUAACAUACCGAUAGACAAAGGGAAUUGUAUACAGGGUUGAUUGAAUCCUCGACAUCGUGGUUCAUCCCAUGAGAUCAUCGAGGAGCAUGUGGGAGCCAACAUGGGUAUCCAGAUCCCGCUGUUGGUUAUUGACCGGAGAGUCGUCUCGGUCAUGUCUGCCUGUCUCCCGAACCCGUAGGGUCUACACACUUAAGGUUCGGUGACGCUAGGGUUAUAGAGAUAUUAGUAUGCGGUAACCCGAAAGUUGUUCGGAGUCCCGGAUGAGAUCCCGGACAUCACGAGGAGUUCCGGAAUGGUCCGGAGGUAAAGAUUUAUAUAUGGGAAGUCUUAUUUUGGUCGCCGGAAAAGUUUCGCACUUUAUCGGUAUUGUACCGGGAGUGCCGAAAGGGGUCCGGGGAUCCACCAGCCCCGGGGGGCCACAUGGGCUGUAGGGGGUGCGCCUUGGCCUAUAUGGGCCAAGGGNNNNNNNNNNNNNNNNNNNNNNNNNNNNNNNNGGAGGACUCCUCCCUGGCCGCACCCUUCCUUGGAGGAAGGGCCAAGGCUGCGCCCCCCCUCUCCCUUGGCCCUAUAUAUAGUGGGGGGGAGGGAGGGCAGCAACAAUCCAAGCCCUGGCGCCUCCCUCUCCCUCCCGUGACACAUCUCCCUCCUCCUGUAGCGCUUGGCGAAGCCCUGUUGGAAUCCCGCUACUUCCACCACCACGCCGUCGUGCUGCUGGAUCUCCAUCAACCUCUCGUCCCCCCUUGCUGGAUCAAGGAGGAGACUUCGCUGCUCCAUACGUGUGUUGAACGCGGAGGUGCCGUCCGUUCGGCGCUAGGAUCAUCGGUGAUUUGGAUCACGACGAGUACGACUCCAUCAACCCCGUUCUCUUGAACGCUUCCGCUCGCGAUCUACAAGGGUAUGUAGAUGCACUCCCCUUCCCCUCGUUGCUAGAUUACUCCAUAGAUUGAUCUUGGUGAUGCGUAGAAAAUUUUGAAUUUCUGCUACGUUCCCCAACAGGACAGAGGUCACCGGCGGAACAGGCACGUCCCCUCCUUUUGGGGAAUGCCGUUUGCUGGACUCCGGAGCCGCAUAUAUCUCCGGAAUGGUAUCCGGCUCAGGUCCGAAGAGAACUCGGCCCCCGUCACCAGUCCCCAUAGUGGCUUUUUCUCCCAUGUGUCCGGCGACUGAGGAAUCGCCCUGGGGCGUCACCCCAACGAUUUUCGGAAGCUCCCCCCGGUCGGGGAAGGUCUUUUGCGACACCACCUCGUCGUCACCCUUGAGAGAAACGGAAUGCGCAGGUGGCGGCGACAUGCUAGCCAUCUCCUUUUAGUCCAGCGAUCCCUCUGUUGAGGAUCGCGGGGAGCCAUCGCGUGCCGGACUGCAAUGACAAGGUUUGAGAUAUAUCAAUAUUACAAAACCAGACAUUUUCGGAUUCUGGUACUUACGAGGCGGCCCGAGGCUUGGUCCGGCGAGGUUGCUCCGGACUACUAUCAACAUCCCACGCGAGGUUAUCCGCGAGGGAGCCUUUAACCCUCUUAGACACUUUCGCCUCCAGGUUCAUGGGGCCGCUCUCUUCUUCCUCCCCACUUUAGGUGGGGAGUCAUUUUCUUCUUCCUCUUCGUCGUCGUCGUCAGCAGAUGAAGAGGAAGUCUCGCUUUCGGACGUCAUGUCCGGAGCGCCUUUUUGGCGAGGGCCCUUCUUGGCCCCUUUGGAUGCCUUCUUGGCCGUCUUCUCUGGCACCUCAUAAGGUGCAGGGAAAAGCAUUUUCGUCAGUAAUGGGAAUUCUUGGUCUUUGGGCAGCGGAGCCAGACAGUUAAUCUCCUCUGCUACCUUGAUCCAGGCCUGAAAACAGGGGUAGGAGAGCUUAGGUUUUUUCUCAAAAUAUGCUAGUAGAGGGUACUCCUUGAAAACAUUAAAGGAACUUACCGAGUUAGCCUGGCGUUUUAAGCUAAGCCCGCAAUCUUCGGUCAUGGGCGGUGGCGUCUCGCCGGCCUUGAAGAGCACUUUCCAGAUUUCUUCGUGCCUCGUGCCGAAGAGCUCUAGCAGCGUCUGGUGCUUGGCCGGAUCGUACUCCCAUAGAUAGCAAGUCUGGCAUUGGCACGGAAGGACCCGACGAAUGAGCAUGACCUGGACCACGUUGACGAGCUUGAUCUUUGUGUCUAUCAUAUUCUGGACGCACGUAUGGAGCCCAGACAGCUCGUCCAAGGGACCCCAGUUUAGGCCCCUCUCUUGCCAGGAGGUGAGCCGCACGGGAUUCCGGAUCGGAAUUCGGGGGUCGCCGCCCAGUUGGCGUCGCGCGGCUCGGUGAUAUAGAACCACCCCGAUUGCCACCCCUUCACCGUCUCUGUGAAUGUGCCUUCGGGCCCGGUAACGUUGGGCAUCUUGCCCAGCAUGGCGCCUCCGCACUCUGCUUGUUGGCCGCUCACCACCUUUGGCUUCACAUUGAAGGUCUUCAGCCAUAGGCCGAAAUGAGGCGGGAUUUGGAGAAAGGCCUCGCACACGACAAUGAAUGGCGUGAUAUUGAGAAUGAAGUUAGGGGUUAGGUCAUGAAAGUCUAGCCCGUAGUAAAACAUCAGUCCACGAACGAAGGGGUUAAGAGGGAAGCCCGGCCCGCGGACGAAAUGUGUAAGAAACACAACCCUCUCAUGGGGCUCUGGAGUAGGGAUGAUCUGUCCCUUGGCCGGGAGUCUGUGAGCUAUCUCCUUGGCCAGAUAUCCGGCCUCCUGGAGCUCUUUAAUAUCGCUCUUCUUGACGGAGGAGGCCAUCCACUUGCCUCCAGCUCCAGAUCCGGACAUCUUGGGGGUACUUUCUCGGACGAGGGAAAAGCUAAAGACUUGGGCGCUGGAGCUCAGGGACGGAAGGACUGAGGAGGAACCGAGGUGUGGGUGAAGAAAGGGAAUUCUCAUCCCCUUAUAAAGACCAUGAAUAUCAAGCGCCUCCUCACUCGCCUUAAACUCGCCUAUUCCCUAGGGGCCGUGCGAACGACACGGUUGGGUCACCCACGCCCGCAUUGAUGAGAAUCCCGCAAUAAGGGGACACGAUCUCUGCUUCGACAGGACGUGCCAAUGGCAACCGCGUCUCGAAACAUGGAGCGGCAAACGAAAAACGGUUCGAAAUUGUGACCGGUCAGGCGUGAUGUCACGCUGCAAAAAAGUUGUCAGCGGAUGGAACUCGUGUAAAAAUAUAUUCUCUCUGCGGUUGUGUAUGGUGUGUGACAGGUCCGGAUACUAUCAUUGCAUCCGAAGACUAUCUUGGAGUUCGUAAAAAGGGGAAUCCGCCUUGCAAUGCCGAAGACAAUCUGUGCGCCGGACUCCUCGUCAUUGAAGCCAGGUUCAGGGGCUACUGAGGGAGUCCUGGACUAAGGGGUCCCCGGGCGUCCGGCCCGUUAUCCAUGGGCCAGACUGAUGGGCUGUGAAGACAUGAAGGCCGAAGACUGUACCCGUGUCCGGAUUGGACUCUACUUGGCGUGGAAGGCAAGCUUCGCGACCGACUAUGAAGAUUCCUUCUUAUGUAACCGACUCUAUGUAACCCUAGAUUCCCCUCCGGUGUUUAUAUAAACCGGAGGGGUUAGUCCGGAAAGGAUAUUCAUUACCAUAGUCAUAUAGGCUAGACUUCUAGGGUUUAGCCAUUACGAUCUCGCGGUAGAUCAGCUCUUGUAAUACUCAUAUUCAUCAAGAUUAAUCAAGCAGGAAGUAGGGUAUUACCUCCAUAGAGAGGGCCCGAACCUGGGUAAACAUCGUGUCCCCGUCUCCUGUUACCAUCGACCCUAGACGCAUAGUUCGGGACCCCCUACCCGAGAUCCGCCGGUUUUGACACUGAUAACCCACAAGUAUAGGGGAUCGCAACAGUUUUCGAGGGUAGAGUAUUCAACCCAAAUUUAUUGAUUCAACACAAGGGGAGCCAAAGAAUAUUCUCAAGUAUUAGCAGUUGAGUUCUCAAUUCAACCACACCUGGAUAACUUAAGAUCUGCAGCAAAGUGUUUAGUAGCAAAGUAAUAUGAUAGUAGUGGUAACGGUAACAAAGGUAACAGUAGCAAAAGUAAUAUUUUUGGUGUUUUGUAGUGAUUGUAACAGUAACAAAGGAAAAGUAAAUAAGCGAAGAACAAUAUGUGAAAAGCUCGUAGGCAUUGGAUCGGUGAUGGAGAAUUAUGCCGGAUGCGGUUCAUCAUGUAACAACCAUAACAUAGGGUGACACAGAACCAGCUCCAAUUCAUCAAUAUAAUGUAGGCAUGUAUUCCGAAUAUAGUCAUACGUGCUUAUGGAAAAGAACUUGCAUGGCAUCUUUUGUCCUACCCUCCCGUGGCAGCGGGGUCCUAAUGGAAACUAAGGGAUAUUAAGGCCUCCUUUUAAUAGAGUACCAGACCAAAGCAUUAACACAUAGUGAAUACAUGAACUCCUCAAACUAUGGUCAUCACCGGGAGUGGUCCCGAUUAUUGUCACUUCGGGGUUGCCGGAUCAUAACACAUAGUAGGUGACUAUAGACUUGCAAGAUAGGAUCAAGAACUCACAUAUAUUCAUGAAAACAUAAUAGGUUCAGAUCUGAAAUCAUGGCACUCGGGCCCUAGUGACAAGCAUUAAGCAUAGCAAAGUCAUAGCAACAUCAAUCUCAGAACAUAGUGGAUACUAGGGAUCAAACCCUAACAAAACUAACUCGAUUACAUGAUAGAUCUCAUCCAACCCAUCACCGUCCAGCAAGCCUAUGAUGGAAUUACUCACGCACGGCGGUGAGCAUCAUGAAAUUGGUAAUGGAGGAUGGUUGAUGAUGACGACGGUGACGGAUUCCCCUCUCCGGAGCCCCGAACGGACUCCAGAUCAGCCCUCCUAAGAGGUUUUAGGGCUUGGCGGCGGCUCCGUAUCGUGAAACGCGAUGAAUCCUUUUCUCUGAUUUUUUUCUCCCUGAAAGUGAAUAUAUGGAGUUGGAGUUGAGGUCGGUGGAGCAUCAGGGGGCCCACAAGGCAGGGGGGCGCGCCCCCACCCUCGUGGACAGGGUGUGGGCCCCCUGACAUGCAUUUUUCUUCCAGUAUUUUUAUUAUUUUCCAAAUAGAUGUUCCGUGGAGUUUCAGGUCAUUCCGAGAACUUUUGUUUCUGCACAUAAAUAACACCAUGAAAAGUCUGCUGAAAACAGCGUCAGUCCGGGUUAGUUCCAUUCAAAUCAUGCAAGUUAGAGUCCAAAACAAGGGCAAAAGUGUUUGGAAAAGUAGAUACAACGAAGACGUAUCAGACACCGACAACCACCAAGUUGGGGUCGUUGCGGACCCAGGCCGACGCCUCGUCCGACUUGGCGAACUUGGAGCAGCGGGCCGCGUUGCGCCGCUCUUGUCGCACCACCUAGCUCACCGUCCUGUCCUCAGUGAAGACGAUGGCCCGCGACGAAGAGGACCCGCCGCCACCACUGAGGUAGUGGAGGAUGAGUCUGCGUGCCUUCGGGAUCACGAGCGAUAGCUCCUCCUGGCUGUGCAAGUUGCGGCAUGACGGGGACGCCAGCUCCUGCUUGACAUAGGGGAGAGAUGACAUCGGCUCCUACUUGACGCGGAAGCGCAUCGGGGAGUGCAGCUCCUGCUUCAUGGCACGUGGUACACGACCGAGAGGCGAGGCAUGCCUCCUACUUCACGCGACGGAGAAGCAACGCCGGCUCCUGCUUGACGUGGAAGCGUGGCGGAGAGUGCGGCUCCUCCUUGAUGGCGCGCGACUGAGAGCGCGGCGCCGGACCUCGCUCACGGACCGACCACUCCGCCAGCAACUCGAUCUGAUGGAUGAACUCCUCGUCCGUCACUACAGCCUCUCGGAGGCGCGACUGCUGAUAGAGCAGCUGCUACCGCGGCGGCGGCUGGUCCUCCUCGUCGUCGGAGGAAAUCACCCGGAUAAUCCAGUACAAAGGCAACAUGUUGUCGAUGCAAUGCAGAUGAUGCAUAAAUAAUAAUAAUAAUAAUAAUAGGUGAAUAUAAUAAUUAGUAUUACUCUGGGCAAUUACACAUGGGUGAUGUCAUGGGUGGCAUGACAUGACAUGGGUGGUUGCAUGAGCGACAUGGGAGGAUGCAUGAGAGGAUACAUGAUGAGCAUGAUGGGAGGUGGCUUGGGUUUCAGGUGAGGCGGCUUUUGGAGGUACGAUGAAUGCCGUGGGAGGUGACUUUGGACAUAUGGAUGGUGCCAUAAAUGGCAUGGGAGGAUGGGUGACGACAUGAAUGGCAUAGAGCACGUCAAUGAAGUAAAAGAAGGCAAUGGUGAGCAUGAAGCCAAUGGCGAGGAGAAAGAAAGCACGAGUGGCAAGGGGGUUGAGAGACUAUGCAUAUUUUGUUUGUGAUGGUCAUGCACUCUUGUUUGUGUUGGUCAUGUACUAUGUUUGUGAUUUUACAUCUGAACUUGAUAUGCGGAUUUGAAGUUGAAUUCAUAUGUUAUUGCUUUAUGUGUGUAGUGAUCUUGCAUAGUUGUGGUGCAAAAAUUUGUAUGUUAAAUUUAGCUAAAUCCAUAGUUUAUUCAAAUACAUACGUAAAACAACUAGUGGUGUGGUUGUCGUGCAGUGCCCUAUUUCAGGGCAACUGUUGGAGCAGCCAUGCCCUAUUUGGUGCUCCUAUUAUAGGGUAGCUGUUGGAGAUGGCAAUAUGUUGUGCCGAAAAAAGCGCUUUUGGGUACCCGAAAUUUUAAUUCGAGCCCAAAACGAUGCCUAAAAUAGGACAACUAUUGAACAUGCUCUUACGCUAGUAAGUGAGGAUAAAAGAUUUUAGUUUCCUAAAUACUUUUUAUCCAAAUAACCCCUUAGAGCAUCUCCAACAUUUGCCCAAUUUUAGGGCACCAAAAAGCGGUUGGAGUAAAUUUUAAAGCACGGAAAAGUGUUUUUUUUGCACGAGAAAGCAUCGUCUCCAACAACCACCUUAAAAUACGUCACUCCUAUACUGAACCUAUUGUCGACUUUGUCUAAAGUCUAAACUGGAUUUUUAACUCUCAAAACUGAAGCAUAGUGAAGUCACACUCCUCUCGACGAUAAUUCGGCUGGUGCGCGCCUCACGGGACCUCCGCUCGGUACAAGCUCCAUCUUCUGUUGCCUUCGCUCGGCCAAGCCCUAGCAACAGACAGUGUCCCCGCGGUAGUUGAAGAAGGAGGCGAGGCGCACCACACGCCUUCUGUGGUCAUUCACCCGUUCUAUCCAAAGAUGGGGGAGGAGAAGGAAGGGGUAGAGAUGGGUAGUGACGCCAGUGAUGUGGGAGGGCUGCCGGGACUGCGAGGAGUGGACGUAGUAGCAGCCGCCUGAGCGGCCUUGCCACCGCCCUAUGGGGACCACCAGUAGAGACGGUGUGGGGUCGCUGGCGAGUGCUGCGAGGUAAGCGGUGUCCUCUGAGGCUCCUGUCGGUGUCAAAACCGGCGGAUCUCGGGUAGGGGGUCCCGAACUAUGCGUCUAAGGUCGAUGGUAACAGGAGACAGGGGACACGAUGUUUACCCAGGUUCGGGCCCUCUUGAUGGAGGUAAUACCCUACUUCCUACUUGAUUGAUCUUGAUGAAUAUGAGGAUUACAAGAGUUGAUCUACCACGAGAUCGUAAUGGCUAAACCCUAGAUGUCUAGCAUGUAUGAUUAUGAUUCGCCCUACGGACAAACCCCUUCGGUUUAUAUAGACACCGGAGGGGACUAGGGUUGUACAAAGUCGGUUACAGAGAAAGGAAUCUUCAUAUCCGAACGCCAAGCCUGCCAUCCACGCAAAAGAGAGUCCUAUCCGGACACGGGAGAGAGUCUUCUAUCUUGUACCUUCACGGCCCAUCAGUCCAGCCCACGUCACAUAGGCGGACGCCCGAGGACCCCUUAAUCCAGGACUCCCUCAGUAGCCCCUGAACCAGGCUUCAAUGACGAUGUGUCUGGCGCGCAGAUUGUCUUCGGCAUUGCAAGGCGGGUUCCUCCUCCGAAUACUCCAAAGCAGCUCUUGAACACAGAGAGCGUGCCCGGCUCUGUAAAACAAACACCACACCCACGCGUAGAGAGUAUAAAUAUUUCACGAGUCCAAUCCACUGACAACUUUUGUAGCGUGACAUCACGUCGCCGCCCCGUCAUUAUUUCGAACCAUUUUUUAGCCUUCCGCUCCAUGUUUCAAGAUGCGGUUUUAUCGGCACGUCUUGUCGAAGCAGAGAUCGUGUCCCCUUAUUGCGGGAUCUUCAUCAAUACGGGCGUGGGUAAUCCAACCGCUCCGUUGGCACGAUUCCUUGGGAAUAGGCAAGUUUCAAGGCUUAUGAGGAGGCGUUCGAUAUUCAUCGCCUUUAUAAAGGGGCACAGACCCAUCUUUUUCUUCCUCAACUUUCCCAACCCCGAGCUCCAGCACCCAGGUUUCAACUUAAUCGAUCCAAGACUCCCAGUCAUGUCCGGACCCAGCCUCCAAGGCCGGUGGGUGGCCUCCUCUGUCACAGAGGAGGAUAUCGCGAAGCUCCGAGCGGCAAGGUACCUGACCGCAGAAAUCCUCCACAGGCUUCCUGCUAAGGGGCAGAUUAUUCCUACACCCAGAUCUGGCGAGAGGGUCGUAUUCAUCUCCCACUUCCUUCGGGGGCUAGGGUUCGCUCUCCACCCCUUCGUUCGUGGCCUCAUGUUUUAUUAUGGGCUAGAUUGUCAUGAUCUAGCUCCGGACUCCUUUCUUCACAUCUCGGCGUUCAUCGUCAUGUGCGAGGCCUUUUUCCGCAUUCCCCCACACUUUGGCUUAUGGCUCAAGGCCUUUAAUGUGAAACCGAAGGUAGUCGACGGGGAGCAAGCGGAGUGUGGCGGUGCUAUGGUGAGCAAGCUCGCCAAUACUCCUUGGCCAAAGGGCUCCUUCACAGAAACUUCCAACCUAUGCCAGCGGGAGUGGUUUUACAUCACUGAACCCCGCGGUACCAAGUGGGCAGCUACACCUGCGUUUCGAUCAGGCCCUCCGUUACGACUCACAUCAUGGAUUAACAAGGGGCUGGACUGGGGACCAAUUGAUGAAGUGCAGACGCUACAAAGCCGUAUCCGGAGUCUCCUUGAAAAGGACACCGGCCUCAUCAAUGUGAUCCAGGUAAUGCUAGUCCGCCGGGUCCUAUCGUGCCAGCGACGGCCUCUCCGCCUGUGGGAGUUCAAUCCGGAAGGACCAUGGACCCUUCAACACUUCUUUGGCACAACGCACAGAGGGAUGUGGAAGUUAUUCUUCAGGACCCGAAAACAGUGGCCGGAUACAACCGAGGACAUCGGCCUCGACUGCAACCAUCCAAAUACCUCGGUAAGCACUCGACUCCUGAACACAGCUUAGUUAAUUAUCCCGUAACAAUAUACUGAGAAACCUGUCUCCGAUCAGGGCUGGAUAAAGAAGGCGGAAUGAAUUAGGUGUUCGGCUCCACUCCCCAAAGACUCAGCUGAUCCUAUGUUGACAAGGAUGCUCGCCCCGGCACUGUAUCAAGUGCCGGUGAAGGAGGCCCAGGAGGAGAGCAGAAAGGCCAAAGGUGGCCUCCACUCGAAAGGUACACCGGACGCUAUGUCCGGGGAGACUGGAACUCCCUCUUAUGAAGACGAAGGGGAAGAAGAAGCUGAUAUCACUUCUCCCCAUGGGAAGAAAAGGACUGCCUCUGAAGAUCUGGAGGUGGAGGAUCCCAAGAGAGGGAAGGUGUCCCUGUCAGCCGGUUCGGAAGACACUGCUGCACAGUUCCUCCGUAAGGACAAGGCCUUAGCCGAAUCGUAAGUGAACAAGGGUGUUUUAGACAUAUCCCGUUCUUUUCCGGUUACAAGGGUAACAUCUUAAAUAUAUGUUUGCAGUCCGGCCCGCAGUCUUCUCCUCGGGUGACCUGCUUCCGGAGAUGAUGGAAAGCGAGACGCCUCCACAUGCUUCCUCGCCCUUUAGGGCGGACGACUUCGAGGUGUCAUCCCGGAGGGUCUCCCUCGAUCACCAAGUGGCGCGGGGGGCAAUAAAGGCAGCGCCCAAAGGUGAGACUUCGGUCGUCAAGGGUCCGGGGAGUGCAGCCCCUACGGGGACCGACAAUAAAGGCCCCGAACUAUCCGAUUUACAGCCGAAAGCGACUCUAGGGUCGAGUAAACAUAUCCCUCCGAAGGGAGUUCGUACUCCUGGAGGCGCUUCCAGGAGUCCAGAGGUGCCGGAUACAUUGGUGAGCAUGUUGCAGAAUGCGUCCAUCUCAGAGGAACAUCAUACCUUAAUGGGUAUGGUAGUUGAGAGGAUUCUGUCCGCAAGAAGCGGAUUGAAUGAAGCCUUCACGGGCCUACUAAGAGGCUUUGAGGUAUGCAAUGUAAUAUCUUGACUACUCUUUACAUGCAAAAUAUGCCUGUGUAUAGAUAGUAGCCCCUGAGACUCUGGUCGGCUUCCACAGGGAGGCGAUCAGAGGAUCCAAAGAUAUGCUCAGGAAAUAACAUGAAUAAUAAAAAAACAGGCUGUUACGUCAAUGACGACUGCCUCCGCUACGGAAGUUGCAGAUUUAAAGCAAAAACUUGAGUCAGCGGAUGAGGACAUUACUCUUAUUGACAGGCGGCUCGACGAGGCACAAGGUAUGUUUUGGGGCAGUCAGCUUAUGCAUGUAUAAUAAUAUAAGCACGAAGCUGAAAAUUUUUAACUGGGACAUGCAUAAUUGCAGAUGGUGCUGCUGCGGUUGAGACCCUUCGGGCUGAACUUGCCCGGGCCAAGGAGCAAGCCAGAGUGAGCAAUGCGGCUGCCAAAAAAGGCAGCUGCUGAUUUAAAGGCCAAACAGGCCACUCGGCGCCAGUGCGAGGAGAGAAUAUCUACCAUGGCGCGAGAGCUAAAGGAUGCCACUUGAUGUCUACUACGCAACCUUCUUCUUAUAGACGUUGUUGGGCCUCCAAGUGCAGAGGUUUGUAGGACAGUAGCAAAUUUCCCUCAAGUGGACGACAUAAGAUUUAUCAAUCCGUGGGAGGCGUAGGAUAAAGAUGGUCUCUCUCAAACAACCCUGCAACCAAAUAACAAAGAGUCUCUUGUGUCCCCAACACACCCAAUACAAUGGUAAAUUGUAUAGGAGCACUAGUUCGGCGAAGAGAUGGUGAUACAAGUGCAAUAGGGAUGGUAGAUAUAGGUUUUUGUAAUCUGAAAAUAUAAAAACAGCAAGGUAACUAAUGAUAAAAGUGAGCACAAACGGUAUUGCAAUGCGUUGAAACAAGGCCUAGGGUUCAUACUUUCACUAGUGCAAGUCUCUCAACAAUAAUAACAUAAUUGGGUCGUAUAACUAUCCCCCAACAUGCAACAAAGAGUCACUCCAAAGUCACAAAUAGCGGAGAACAAAUGAAGAGAUUAUGGUAGGGUACGAAACCACCUCAAAGUUAUUCUUUCUGAUCGAUCUAUUCAAGAGUCCGUAGUAAAAUAACACGAAGUUAUUCUUUCCGUUUGAUCUAUCAUAGAGUUCGUACUAGAAUAACACCUUAAGGCACAAAUCAACCAAAACCCUAAUGUCACCUAGAUACUCCAAUGUCACCUCAAGUAUCCGUGGGUAUGAUUAUACGAUAUGCAUCACACAAUCUCAAAUUCAUCUAUUCAAGCCAACACAAAGUACUCAAAGAGUGCCCCAAAGUUUCUACCGGAGAGUCAAGAUGAAAACGUGUGCCAACCCCUAUGCAUAAGUUCACGAAGUCACGGAACCCGCAAGUUGAUCACCAAAAAAUACAUCAAGUAGAUCACGUGAUAUCCCAUUGUCACCACAGAUAAGCACAUGCAAGACAUACAUCAAGUGUUCUCAAAUCCUUAAAGACUCAAUCCGAUAAGAUAACUUCAAAGGGAAAACUCAACCCAUUACAAGAGAGUAGAGGGGGAGAAACAUCAUAAGAUCCAACUAUAAUAGCAAAGCUCGCGCUACAUCAAGAUCGUACCACCUCAAGAACACGAGAGAGAGAGAUCAAACACAUAGCUACUGGUACAUACCCUCAGCCCCGAGGGUGAACUACUCCCUCCUCGUCAUGGAGAGCGCCGGGAUGAUGAAGAUGGACACCGGUGAGGGAUCCCCCUCCGGCAGGGUGCCGGAACAGGGUCCCGAUUGGUUUUUGGUGGCUACAGAGGCUUGCGGCGGCGGAACUCCCGAUCUAGGUUAUGUUCUGGGGGUUUCUGUAUAUAUAAGAGGUUUUGGCGUCGAGAACAAGUCAGGGGGUCUCCGGGCUGUCCACGAUGUAGGGAGGCACGCCCAGGGGGGUGGGCGCGCCCCCCACCCUCGUGGGCUGCCCGAGACUCUUCUGGCCCAACUCUUUUACUCCAUGGCCUUCUUCUGGUCCAAAAAUAAGCUCCGUCAAGUUUCAGGUCAAUUGGACUCCGUUUGGUUUUUCUUUUCUGCGAUACUCAAAAACAAGGAAAAAACAGAAACUGGCACUAGGCUCUAGGUUAAUAGGUUAGUCCCAAAAAUCAUAUAAAUUAGCUUAUAAAUGCAUAUAAAACAUCCUAGAUGGAUAAUAUAAUAGCAUGGAACAAUAAAAAAUUAUAGAUACGUUGGAGACAUAUCAAGCAUCGCCAAGCUUAAUUCCUGCUCGUCCUCGAGUAGGUAAAUGAUAAAAACAACAUUUUUGAUGUGGAAUGCUACCUAACAUAAUCAUCAAUAUAAUCUUCUUUAUUGUGGCAAGAAUAUUCAGAUCCAUAAGAUUCAAGACAAAAGUUUAAUAUUGACACAAAAAUAAUAAUACUUCAAGCAUACUAACCAAGCAAUUAUGUCUUAUCAAAAUAACAUAGCCAAAGAAAGCUUAUCCCUACAAAAUCAUAUAGUUUGGCCAUGCUUCAUUUUCGUCACACAAAAUGCUCCCAUCACGCACAACCCCGAUGACAAGCCGAGCAAUUGGUUCAUACUUUUUAACGCGCUUCAGCCUUUUCAACCCUCAUGCAAUACAUGAGCGCAAUGGGUGGAAUAGAGUAUGAUGAUAGGGGUUAUGUGAGAAGACAAAAAAGAAGAAAGUCUCACAUUGACGCGGCUAAUCAACGGGCUAUGGAGAUGCCCAUCAAUUGAUGUCAAUGCGAGGAGCAGGGAUUGCCAUGCAACGGAUGCACUAGAGCUAUAAAUAUAUGAAAGCUCAUCAAAAGAAACUAAGUGGGUGUGCAUCCAACUUGCUUGCUCACGAAGACCUAGGGCAUUUUGAGGAAGCCCAUCAUUGGAAUAUACAAGCCAAGUUCUAUAAUGAAAAAUUCCCACUAGUAUAUGAAAGUGACAAAAUAAGAGACUCUCUAUCAUGAAGAUCAUGGUGCUACUUUGAAGCACAAGUGUGGAAAAAUGAUAGUAACAUUGUCCCUUCUCUCUUUUUCUCUCAUUUUUUUUGUUUUUUUAUUGGGCCUUCUCUCUUUUCUUCUUUUUCUUUUUUGGCCUCCUUUUUUUUCUUUUUUUUUUCUUUCGUCCGGAGUCUCAUCCCGACUUGUGGUGGAAUCAUAGUCUCCAUCAUCCUUUCCUCACAUGGGACAAUGCUCUAAUAAUGAUGAUCAUCACACUUUUAUUUACUUACAACUCAAUAAUUACAACUCGAUAGUUAGAACAAAAUAUGACUCUAUGUGAAUGCCUCCGGCGGUGCACCGGGAUAUGCAAUGAAUCAAGAGUGACAUGUAUGAAAAAUUAGCAUGGUGGCUUUGCCACAAAUACGAUGUCAACUACAUGAUCAUACAAGGCAAUAUGACAGUGAUGAUGCGUGUCAUAAUAAACGGAACGGUGGAAAGUUGCAUGGCAAUAUAUCUCGGAAUGGCUAUGGAAAUGCCAUAAUAGGUAGGUAUGGUGGCUGUUUUGAGGAAGAUAUAAGGAGGUUUAUGUGUGAUAGAGCGUAUCAUAUCACGGGGUUUGGAUGCACCGGCGAAGUUUGCACCAACUCUCAAGGUGAGAAAGGGCAAUGCACGGUACUGAAGAGGCUUGCAAUGAUGGAAGGGUGAAAGUGCGUAAUAUCCAUGGACUCACAUUAGUCAUAAAGAACUCAUAUACUUAUUGCAAAAGUUUAUUAGCCCUCGAAGCAAAGUACUAUUACGCAUUCCCCUAGGGGGAUAGAUUGGUAGGAAAAGACCAUCGCUCGUCCCCGACCGCCACUCAUAAGGAAAGCAAUCAAAGAACACUCCAUGCUUCAAAUUUGUCACACAACGUUUACCAUACGUGCAUGCUACGGGACUUGCCAACCUCAACACAAGUAUUUCUCAAUUUCAUAAUUACCCAACUAGCACGACUCUAAUAUCACCACCUUUAUAUCUCAAAACAACUAUCAAGUAUCAAACUUCUCUUAGUAUUCAAUGCACUUUAUAUGAAAGUUUUUAUUAUAUCCUUCUUGGAUGCCCAUCAUAUUAGGACUAAUUUCAUAACCAAAGCAAAUUAUCAUGCUAUUUAGGACUCUCAAAAUUAUAUAAGUGAAGCAUGAGAGUUCAUCUAUUUCUUCAAAAUAAAACCACCGCCGUGCUCUAAAAGGAUAUAAGUGAAGCACUAGAGCAAAUGACAAACUACUCCGAAAGAUAUAAGUGAAGAUCAAUGAGUAGUCGAAUAAUUAUGCAACUAUGUGAAGACUCUCUAACAUUUAAGAAUUUCAGAUCUUGGUAUUUUAUUCAAACAGCAAGCAAAACAAAAGGAAAUAAAAUGACGCUCCAAGCAACACACAUAUUAUGUGGUGAAUAAAAAUGUAGCUCCAAGUAAAGUUACCGAUGAAGAAAGACGAAAGAGGGGAUGCCAACCGGGGCAUCCCCAAGCUUAGGCUCUUGAUUUUCCUUGAAUAUAACCUUGGGGUGCCUUGGGCAUCCCCAAGCUUAGGCUCUUGCCACUCCUUAUUCCAUAGUCCAUCGAAUCUUUACCCAAAACUUGAAAACUUCACAACACAAAACUCAACAGAAAACUCGUAAGCUCCGUUAGUAUAAGAAAAUAAAACCACCACUUAGGUACUGUUGUGAACUCAUUCUAAAUUCAUAUUGGUGUAAUAUCUAAUGUAUUCCAACUUCUCUAUGGUUCAUACCCACCGAUACUACUCAUAGAUUCAUUAAAAUAAGCAAACAACACAUAGAAAACAGAAUCUGUCAAAAACAGAACAGUUUGUAGUAAUCUGUAUCAAACAUAUACUUCUGGAACUCCAAAAAUUAUGAAAUAAAUUGGUGUACGUGAGGAAUUUAUCUAUUAAUCAUCUGUAAAAAGAAUCAACCUAAAAUCACUCUCCAGUAAAAAAGGCAGCUAAUCUCGUGAGCGCUAAAGUUUCUGUUUUUUACAGCAAGAUCAUAAAGACUUCACCCAAGUCUUCCCAAAGGUUCUACUUGGCACAAACACUAACUAAAACAUAAAAACCAUAUCUAACCAGAGUCUGGAUGAAUUAUUUAUUACUAAACAGGAACAAAAUCAAGGAAAAAAUAAAAUUGGGUUGCCUCCCAACAAGCGCUAACGUUUAACGCCCCUAGCUAGGCAUGAUGAUUUCAAUGAUGCUCACAUAAAAGACAAGAAUUGAAACAUAAAGAGAGCAUCAUGAAGAAUACGACUAGCACAUUUAAGUCUAACCCACUUACUAUGCAUAGGGAUUUUGUGAGCAAACAACUUAUGGGAACAAUAAUCAACUAGCAUAGGAAGGCAAAACAAGCAUAACUUCAAAACUUUAAGCACAUAGAGAGGAAACUUGAUAUUAUUGCAAUUCCUACGAGCAUAUAUUCCUCCCUCAUAAUAAUUUUCAGUAGCAUCAUGAAUGAAUUCAACAAUAUAACCAUCACAUAAAUCCUUCUUUUCAUGGUCUACAAGUAUAGAAUUUUUAUUACUCUCCACAUAAGAAAUUUUCUUCUCAUUCGGAAUAGUGAGAGUAUCAUAAGAAACUCGAAUACUAUAAAUUGUUUCCAUAUUAAAAGAGUAAUGUUCAGAAAAAGGGUAAUCAUAAUCAUGAAAAGUUUUAUAAAUGUAAUCAUCACUACUUUUUAUAGCAUAAGUUUCAUCACAAUAAUCAUCAUAAGUAACAACUUUGUUCUCAUCAUAACCAAUUGAGACCUCUUCCGAAAUAGUGGAUUCAUCACUAAAUAAAAUCAUGACCUCUCCAAAUCCACUUUCAUAAGUAUUAUAAGAUUCAACACCCUCCAAAAUAGUGGGAUCAUUACUUCCUAAAGUUGACACUCUUCCAAACCCACUUUCAUCAAUAUAACCAUCAUAAAUAGGAGGCAUGCUAUCAUCAUAAUAAAUUUGCUCAUCAAAACUUGGGAGGCUAAAAAUAUCAUCUCCAUUAAACAUAGCAUCCCGAAGCUUGGGACAAACAUUAAUUGCAGCAAAUACAUUCUCAAACAUGUCAUUCUCAUCAAACAUAGCAUCCCCAAGCUUGGGCCUUUUCAUAUCAUAAGCGUAAUCACUUUCAUCAUUAAUAGUAUGGAUAGCACCAAUAGUAUAGCAAUUAUCAUCAUCACAAUGAGUAAUAGGAGCAACAUCAUUUGGGAGGGAUACCUUUUUAACUUUGCUUCUCCGUCUUUUCUUUUUCUUCUUCACAUCAUGUGUGGGUUUAACCCUCUUUUUUGAGCUCCUUAUUAAUGAGAUUGGUUGAAUAGAAAGCUCCUCCUCGUUACCUGAUUCAUCAUAAGAAAUAAUAGGAGGAUAUUGGGAAGUCUCUUCCCUUUCAUUAGUAUUCUCUUCAUCUUCUAUUUGUUUUCUUGUCUUUAUGUAAUUGGCAAUAUAAGGAUUUUCAAUGCAAUUCAACGCACAAUACAUAAAAAUUUCUUCUAGAUCAAAAUCAAGAAAUCUAUCAAGAUUAAAUUUUGGAAUACCCUCAGUUAUACGUUUCAUUUCUUCAUACCCCAAAAUAAGACUAAGCUCUUUAUGAUGCUCAAGGGUAAUCGAGUUAUCAAAAUUUUUUGGACACGAUUUGAUCAUGAAACAAAUAGCAUUGGAGCUUUAAAUGACCAUGUUCAUUGCUAAGUUCACAAGGAUGGCGAUAAAUAUUGAAUCUUUCAGCAUAAUCAUCUAGCCUUUCUUGCAACCAUUUAGUUUCCAAAUACUUAUGCCUCUUGCAAAAUCUAUCUUCCCUAUUUGGUGUGAACUUGCAAGCUCUAUCUAUUCCACAAAAGUUGACAUGCUUAUAAGAGACAUUUUCAUCAUGACUAGUGCAAUCAUCAUUAGUACUAUGGAUAUUCAAAGAAUUCAUACUAACAACAUUGCAAUCAUGCUCAUCAUUCAAAUAUUUAGUGCCAAACAUUCUAAUGCAUUCUUCUUCUAACAUUUUGGCACAAUUAUCGGAAUCCUUAUUUUCAUGAAAGAUAUUAAAAAGAUGAAGCAUAUGAGGUACCCUUAAUACCAUAUUUUUUGUAGUUUUCUUUUAUAGACUAAAGUAGUGAUAAAACAAGAAACAAAAGAUUCGAUUGCAAGAUCUAAAGAUAUACCUUCAAGCACUAACCUCCCCGGCAACGGCGCCAGAAACUGCUUGAUGUCUACUACGCAACCUUCUUCUUGUAGACGUUGUUGGGCCUCCAAGUGCACAGGUUUGUAGGACAGUAGCAAAUUUCCCUCAAGUGGAUGACCUAAGGUUUAUCAAUCCGUGGGAGGCGUAGGAUAAAGAUGGUCUCUCUCAAACAACCCUGCAACCAAAUAACAAAGAGUCUCUUGUGUCCCCAACACACCCAAUACAUUGGUAAAUUGUAUAGGUGCACUAGUUCGGCGAAGAGAUGGUGAUACAAGUGCAAUAGGGAUGGUAGAUAUAGGUUUUUGUAAUAUGAAAAUAUAAAAACAGCAAGGUAACUAAUGAUAAAAGUGAGCACAAACGGUAUUGCAAUGCAUUGAAACAAGACCUAGGGUUCAUACUUUCACUAGUGCAAGUUCUCUCAACAAUAAUAACAUAAUUGGAUCAUAAAACUAUCCCUCAACAUGCAACAAAGAGUCACUCCAAAGUCACUAAUAGCGGAGAACAAAUGAAGAGAUUAUGGUAGGGUACGAAACCCCCUCAAAGUUAUUCUUUCUGAUCGAUCUAUUCAAGAGUCCGUAGUAAAAUAACACGAAGCUAUUCUUUCCGUUCGAUCCGUCAUAGAGUUCGUACUAGAAUAACACCUUAAGACACAAAUCAACCAAAACCCUAAUGUCACCUAGAUACUCCAAUGUCACCUCAAGUAUCCGUGGGUAUGAUUAUACGAUAUGCAUCACACAAUCUCAGAUUCAUCUAUUCAAGCCAACACAAAGUACUUCAAAGAGUGCCCCAAAGUUUCUACCGGAGAGUCAAGACAAAAACGUGUGCCAACCCCUAUGCAUAAGUUCACGCAGUCACGGAACCCGCAAGUUGAUCACCAAAACAUACAUCAAGUAGAUCACGUGAUAUCCCAUUGUCACCACAGAUAAGCACAUGCAAGACAUACAUCAAGUGUUAUCAAAUCCUUAAAGACUCAAUCCGAUAAGAUAACUUCAAAGGGAAAACUCAAUCCAUUACAAGAGAGUAGAGGGGGAGAAACAUCAUAAGAUCCAACUAUAAUAGCAAAGCUCGCGAUACAUCAAGAUCGUACCACCUCAAGAACACGAGAGAGAGAGAGAGAUCAAACACAUAGCUACUGGUACAUACCCUCAGCCCCGAGGGUGAACUACUCCCUCCUUGUCAUGGAGAGCACCGGGAUGAUGAAGAUGGACACCGGUGAGGGAUCCCCCCUCCGGCAGGGUGCCGGAACAGGGCCCCGAUUGGUUUUUGGUGGCUACAGAGGCUUGCGGCGGUGGAACUGCCGAUCUAGGUUUUGUUCUGGGGGUUUCUGUAUAUAUAAGAGGUUUUGGCGUUGAGAACAAGUCAGGGGGGGUCUCCGGGCUGUCCACGAGGUAGGGAGGCGCGCCCAGGGGGUGGGCGUGCCCCCCACCCUCAUGGGCAGCCCGAGACUCUUCUGGCCCAACUCUUUUACUCCAUGGCCUUCUUCUGGUCCAAAAAUAAGCUCCGUCAAGUUUCAGGUCAAUUGGACUCCGUUUGGUUUUCCUUUUCUGCGAUACUCAAAAACAAGGAAAAAACAAAAACUAGCACUGGGCUCUAGGUUAAUAGGUUAGUCCCAAAAAUCAUAUAAAUUAGCAUAUAAAUGCAUAUAAAACAUCCUAGAUGGAUAAUAUAAUAGCAUGGAACAAUCAAAAAUUAUAGAUAUGUUGGAGACGUAUCACGAUUGCCCAAUGCAAAUCACUCGAAAAGGAUAACAAAGCCAAGACGUCCGAUCUCGACAAGGCCUUACAAGAGGGGCGAGAGGCAUGAUCCGAGUCAAGAGCGACUCGGGAAGAGAUUCGGCAAGCUGGGGAGAUAGCGGCUGGUAAGCCCUUUCUUUUACAGACUAAAUUCGGCGAUCCGAACCAUGCCCCGCUGAAUCAAGUGUGGAGUUCUCCAGACUCGUUCUUGGACCUGUCGAAGAGUGUCACCGAUGCGGCACAGUUUUACCAAGCGCAAGACGGACGUGCAGUGGCGAAGCUUUUCUGGUCAUUGUUCGACGGGCCAAAGCGUCCGCCAUUGCUGAACGAACAAAUGGCCCAGUGGGCCGAGCUCCACAAGGUGUCCGGAGCUGCCAUGGAGGAAGUCGUGGUCCGGCUAUGGCCAACUGAGCCAAUUCCGAACAGUUAUUUCGGUUUCGUGCAGCGGCUUGUUCAUGCAGUGCCGCGUAUCGACGCUGUUAAGCGGUCAGCGUGCAUUGAAGGUGCACAGAUGGCCUUUGCCCGCGUCAAGACGUACUGGGAAAAAAUGAAGGCCACCGAUAUUGCAGCAAAUAGUCCACUUGAGGGCAAGAACCAUCGCGCGCCGGAGCAAUAUUUUGAGGAUGUCCUAGAGGGUGCCUGCUUGAUAGAGGGUCAAUGCUCGAAAGAUAUUAUGUUUGAGUAAAUGUAUCAGAAGUGUGAUAACAAUAUUAUGAUAUAUUAAGGCUGUGUUAUAUUUAUGCCUAUUGCCUGAAUGGCAUUUCCUCCUGUGCGGCCGUUUUUUUAUAAUCUGAAAGUUUGCCAGUCGUCGGCUUCAGCCCCCUCGCAUAUAAUGCGGGGGUGUUCGGAAUAGCAACUAACCACGCUUGACCCAACGUCUUGGUCCGUUAAGGAGGUGUCAGUGCGUCGAACUAGGCAACCAGACUAUAGGGCUUUAACACCUUCACUUAGCCAUAGGAGUUUGACGGUGGGUCUACGAUAUAGCCCCUUGUACGUACGCGGUUAUCCGAAUACGGCUGCGCUACAUAGGUGACCGGAAGAACGGUCCUUCGUGUAAUACGGAAGAAAUCGCAAAAGAUUCUGAUAAGUCAACGAGUGGUUGACCAGCUCUCACCGCAUCAUGACAGUCAGUUUUCGGCUUUCUCUACUAAGGUGCUUGACCAGGUGAACCGGAAACACAAUCGCAGUAGUUCUCCCUUUACUACCCUAGCCGAUAGGACAGAACAUAAGGUAGUAAGCACAUGAGCCGGGCAACCCAACUAUUGACCAAAGACAUGAUUCGGAGCUGAUGCAUAUAAGGCCAAACUCGUGACGCCGAAUUAUGCUAUAAAGCUGUUCGGACUUUUCGGCAACACAUAUGUUGCCGUAUCGAGCCCCUGGCGAUUUGAGCCGAGGUGCGCGUGUGAAACAACUGGAGAAGCAAAAUCCAGUUCUGGAAAAAGCAAAUACUGAAUACGGAUUUAUGUUCACUGGAAUCUGAUUUAUACGUCAAACGCAAUUAUACAGAUUACUCCACCCCUACCCAGGCUAUUUGACAUGCCAGGGGUCGAAGGAUGGGGAAAGGCACUUUACAGGUUUGAAAUAAAGUGUGCGGUCUACAAAAAAUUAUUUGGACCUCCUGUCGCACGUCUGCGCUGCCUUUGCCUCAGAUAAAAGCUUCCUUGACAGGAAUAGCCGUUGGUUAUUUAUACGAAGCCGAACUCAGAAAGAGUCCUUGUAAGUCCGUAGGAUGAACGGGUUUUGAUUCACCUGUAGUAAAAGAUAAAAAAUAGUUAGAAAAAAGAAGAAGGCUAGAGGAAUGCGAACCGUAUUGUAUGCCUGUCUGAAUUGUGCCUCCGCCAAUGACCAAGUUAUUUUAAGUUCAUAAUGAUGUAUGCGCGAUACAAACUUCGCGAGUAUAUGAGGCAAACGACAGAGGCCGAACUGCUAAUCUAGCUCUGAAAUUGACCGGUCCUGUGUAGUAGAGGCCGGCGGCUUAAUGGCCGAUGAGAUACGCGGCUUAAUGGGGCCGCUUUGUACUUCGGCUAUAAUAGCCGCAGUAUCCUCUGUACGGAGGGAGCAUUCCGUAUUUCCGUCUAUUGUGAUGACGCCUCAUGGACCAGGCAUCUUAAGCUUUAGAUAGGCGUUGUGUGGGACCGCAUUAAAACGAGCAAAAGUGGUCCGUCCGAGCAGUGCAUGAUAGCCACUACGGAAUGGGAAAAUAUCGAAGAUCAAGUCUUCGCUUCGAAAGUUGUUCGGCGAGCCAAAGACAACUUCCAAUGUAACUGAGCCUGUGCAGUGGGCCUCUACGCCAGGUAUUACUCCCUUGAAGGUAGUUGUGGUGGGCUUGAUUCGCGAAGGAUCAAUGCCCAUCUUGCGGACAGUGUCUUGGUAGAGUAGAUUAAGGCUACUGCCACCGUCCAGGAGGACUCUCGUAAGAUGGAUCCCGUCGAUAAUUGGGUCGAGGACCAGAGCUGCCGAACCUCCGUGACGGAUACUGGUUGGGUGGUCCCUGCGAUCAAAAGUGAUCGGGUAGGCCGCUCAUGGGUUAAAUUUUGGGGCGACCGGCUCUAUGGCAUAGACGUCCCGCAGUGCACGCUUGCGCUCCCUUUUAGGGAUGUGUGUCACAUAUAUCAUGUUUACUAUUUUUACUUUGGGGGGAAAUUGCUUCUGUCCCCCGGUGUUCGGUUGGUGAGUCUCCUCGUCAUCGCUGUCACUAGGCGGCCCCUUCCCCUUGUGUUCGGCGAGCUUGCCGGCCUGUUUAAAGACCCAACAACUUCUGUUGGUAUGAUUGGCUGGUUUGUCGAGGGUUCCAUGAAUCUGGCAGGGCCGGUCCAGUAUUUUGUCUAGACUGGAUGGUCCGUCUCUGUUUGCCUUGAAUGGCUUCUUCCAUUGACCGGAUUUGAAGCCGCUGAAUCCGGCGUUAACCGCCGUGUCUUGCAUUCCUUCAUUAUUGUUUCGACGCUUGUGUUUAUCGCGUCGUGGCUUGCCGUUGCCAUCUCGGGCUUCAAAAGUGCCCGGAUCGCUGGUGCUAUUGCUUCGACGAGCCAGCCAGCUAUCUUCUCCCGCACAAAAGCGGGUCAUUAGCGUGGUGAGGGCUGCCAUGGAUUUCGGUUUCUCCUGGCCAAGGUGGUGGGCGAGCCACUCAUCUCGGACGCUAUGCUUAAAGGCCGCCGGGGCUUCGGCAUCCGGACAAUCAACAAUUUGGUUCUUUUUAAUUAAGAACCUAGUCCAGAGCUUCCUGGCUGACUCUCCAGGCUGUUGUAUCUCUGCCCUUAUGGCGAGGUAGUACGGGCUGAUGUUCGGCUUGAGUUGCCAUUUUGUCCCGGCCAUGAGGUGGUCGGUUAGCCGCAUUACGUGCUGAUGGUACGGGCUCAAGUGCCUCGUCAUCGAAUUGAGGUAGCAAAUUGAGCUUCGGGUAACUUUUGGUUGGGCGCUCGAGGCCGUAUUCCUCAGCUGCCAGGACAUUAGUCCAUCUAUCGUUGAGCAGAUCUUGAUUAGCCUGGAGUUGCUGCUGCUUCUUUUUCAGUCUCCUUGCAGUGGCAAUUAGCCGGCGCUUGGAGCGCUCCUGCUCGAGAGGUUCCUCAGGCACGAUAAAGUCUUCGUCGCCGAGGCUCACCUCGUCCUCGGAGAGCGGAAGAUAAUUACUGUCCUCCGAGUCUUCAUUUACGGCCUGUUCAUCAGGGCUAGCACGCCCAUCUUCCCGGUCGUCCUGCUCGGAGGUUGGCUUAACGGGGUCUUCAUUGUCUUCGACAUCGUCUAGAGUAUUGUUUUCUCCUGUGCCGAUAUUGCUAUCUUUUCAACGGCAUGACUUAGCGCGGCGCCGCUGUCGUCGGUGCUUUGGCUGUAUCUCAGGAGGUUUAUCCUCGACUGGGUUUUCCUUGCCAUCGCCGCUAUUCUCUUUGGGUGUGUCCACCAUGUACACAUCAUAUAAGGAUGUGGCCGUCCAGCGUCCGGUAAACGGUGGGUUUUGGGCCUGCUCUUCUCCGGCAUCGUCGUCCAUACCGUCGAUGUCUUCGGAGCCGUAAUCGAGCAUGUCAGUUAAGUCCUCGACAGUGGCUAUGAAGUGGGUGGUGGGUGGGAUGUAAAAUUCCCUGCUCUCAGCCCCUAGUCCGGGCUGGGCGUAGUUCGGACAUUGCUCCUCUAUAAUGACGAGGGAGCGCAUCAAGUCCAGAGCCUCGCUUAAAGGCGAGGUUUGGCUAGGGAGAAGAAGAUCCGUGGAGUACGACGGCAAGGAAACUCCUUGGACGAAGUCACAUGAUGCUGUCUCCGAAGGGUCGGGGGCAGCGUUCAGAGGAGAGUCCGGCUUCCUGACGGUUGCCAGCGACACUGCUUCCUUCGGCUCUCCCGUAUUGGGUUUAGUGGCCGCAGAUAGUCUGGUAAGAUCAGAAAUCCCGUCUUCGGACAGGGUGGCGCGCUCCAGAUCUAGAGCCAGAGCGGAGGUUGGAGUCGUGAAUCCUUGGAAGAUCAGGUCUCCUCGGAUAUCAGCGACAUAGUCCAGGUUUCCAAAACUAAUCUGGUGACCUGGGGCGUAGCUGUCGAUCUGCUCUAGAAGGCCAAGUGAGUUGGCCCGUAGUGCGAAGCCGCCGAACACAAAGAUCUGGCUGGGGAGAAAAGCUUCCUCCAGGGCAGCAUUGUUGUGGAUGAUGGAUGGAGCCAUCGAACCUCCUGGAGAUGACACAACGGAACUCUCAAUGAAAGCACCAAUGUCGGUGUCAAAACCGACGGAUCUCGGGUAGGGGGUCCCGAACUGUGCGUCUAAAGUCGAUGGUAAUAGGAGACAGGGGACACGAUGUUUACCCAGGUUCGGGCCCUCUUGAUGGAGGUAAUACCCUACUUCCUGCUUGAUUGAUCUUGAUGAAUAUGAGGAUUACAAGAGUUGAUCUACCACGAGAUCGUAAUGGCUAAACCCUAGAUGUCUAGCCUGUAUGAUUAUGAUUCGCCCUACGGACUAACCCUUCUGGUUUAUAUAGACACCGGAGGGGACUAGGGUUGUACAAAGUCGGUUACAGAGAAAGGAAUCGAACGCCAAGCUUGCCAUCCACACAAAGGAGAGUCCUAUCCGGACACGGGAGAGGGUCUUCUGUCUUGUACCUUCACGGCCCAUCAGUCCGGCCCACGUCACAUAGGCCGGAUGCCCGAGGACCCCUUAAUCCAGGACUCCCUCAGCCCCCUCUAUGGCAGUAUGGUGGUCGGCGGUGGUCGGGCACAGGAGGGGAGGCGGGGCGGCAACAUCACACGGGAAGAACACUGGCAGUUGGCGAUCGGGCGAUGUGUUUUGUGUUUUGGGAAGUAGCCUUUGUGCCCCAAAUUAUACAUCACAUGUGCCCUGUUUUUGGGCAUCCCGAAACUUUUUUUGCUGCACUUUUUGUUUUUUGGGGUAGCUGUUGGAGAGGUUUUUUGGCCCCCGAAGCCCCCAAAAAGCAGUGUUGCCCUAUAAUGGGGCAGUUGUUGGAGAUGCACAAACAUAGACCCAUAGUCCCACGCACAUACAUCUGUAGUCAUGCAACAUCCACUAAAGAUUAAAUUCGAGUUGAUUGAUAAAAUCAUCGUAGAUGUUUUGGACAAAAACAUCACCUUUUACUGAAAGGAACAAUUCACUUUAAAGAUAUGCCAAAGCAUGGUUGAUCUAUGAUGGAUUGCAAUACCAACAUCCUCCAAACCAUUCAAUUAGUGGCCAGUUCUUAGCGUGCAUUUUUUUCUACAACACAAUUCUAUAGAGUUUUAUAUUAUUCUAAAAAAAACAACAUACAGACUGCUCUAACCUCGGCUCGCUAACAUAUCUUAUCCCAAUUUUUCUUCCCCUUAUGAACUAUGGAAGAUGUCCAAAAUAUUUAGCAAGCUAACAAUAGUAUAUUAUUUCAAAUUGUCAUAACGUAGCCUAAAAUACCGAAUAAGAGUGAACAUCACACACAAAACAUUAUGUAUCACACCGAUGAUCUAAAAAAACAUUAAACACAAUACAACCAACCUCGUCAGAAUGAUAGGUGAGCCAUCACUUCUAGUCAAACAUUGUCAUUACACACCAAGGUAAAGAGACAUCCAAACUUGAAGGAUGAAUAUGGGUACAGUGCGUCUCUCCUCCCUACGUUUCUGCCUCCCAUCGGCGCCGCCACCAAUCUGCCACGUCUCCUGUGGCCUUAUGGCCAUGGGUGCAUGGUGGAUCCCGGCCAUUUCCAGCGGGAGGGCUCUAUUUUUAGGUGCUUCUUCAAGUUUUGUUAGGGUUUAUGUCCUUCUCAUGAAGACAAGACGGUGUCGGCUCCCUGAAGAUGGAAUAAGAUUCUCCCCGCCGAGCCCCCUGUCCCGGUGGUGCGUCUAGCAUCGUCGGAGGGCGUGGAGGUGUGUCUCCGGCGGAUCUCGCGAGAUUCGGUCGGUGGUUGUUGAUAACCCACAAGUAUAGGGGAUCAGUUAUAGCCUCUUUCGAUAAGUAAGAGUGUCGAACCCAACGAGGAUCUAAAGGUAGAACAAAUAUUCCCUCAAGUUCUAUCGACCACCGAUACAACUCUAUGCACGCUUAACGUUCGCUUUACCUAGAACAAGUAUGAAACUAGAAGUACUUUCAAGGUGUUGUAGGAUAGGUUUGCAAGAUAAUAAAGAGCACGUAAAUAAAAUCUAGGGGCUGUUUAGAUAAAGAAACAACUAAGUUAGUUUUAGAAGAGAGUUUUUUGUCACAAGAAAGUUAUUUGUCCCUAGGCAAUCGAUAACUAGACCGGUAAUCAUUAUUGCAAUUUUAUAUGAGGGAGAGGCAUAAGCUAACAUACUUUCUUUUCUUGGAUCAUAUGCACUUAUGAUUGGAACUCUAGCAAACAUCCGUAUCUACUAAAGAUAAUUAAGGUAAAACCCAACCAUAGCAUUAAAGUAUCAAGUCCUCUUUACUCCCAUACGCCAUAACCCACUUAUCCAUGUUUGUGUUUCUAUCACUCACGCAACACAGACAAUAAGCAAACCAUGAACAUAUAUAUUGCAAACCCUAUAUCGGAUAUCUCUCACGCUUGCGCGACACGGAGAGCACCAUAGGACAACACCAAUAAUAAAACAUGCAACUCAAACCAAUCAUGAUCAUCAAUCAACCCAUAGGGCAAAACGGAUCUACUCAAACAUCAUAGGAUAGCCAUACAUCAUUGGGAAAUAAUAUAUAGCGUUGAGAACCAUGUUCAAGUAGAGAUUACAGCGGGGAGAAGAGGUCUUACACUACUGCAUAGAGGGGGAGAGAGUUGGUGAUGACGGCGGCGAAGUUGUUGGUGUAGAUCGCCGUCACGAUGAUGGCCCCGGCGGCGUUCCGGCGCCACCGGGAGAGAGGGGGGGAGCCCCUUCUUCUUCUUCUUCCCUGACCCCCCCCCUAGAUGGAAGAAGGGUUUCCCCUCUGGUCCAUGGCUUCCAUGGCGGUGGAGGGCCGGGAGCCCCUCUGAGAUUGGAUCUCUCUCUUUGUUUCCUUCUAUUUCUGUGCUCCCAGAUUUUGGCCUUUCAGCGUUUCUUAAAUUCCUGGAGAUCCGUAACUCCGAUUGCGCUGAAAUUUUAACACGAUUUUUAUCCGAAUAUUAGCUUUCUUGCGGCAAAAUAAGGGCACCAACCGCCUUAUGGGGUGACCACAAGGGCCCAGGGCGCGCCCCUGCCUUGUGGCCCCCUCAGGCAUCGUCUCGCGUUGAUUCUUUUUCCCAAAAAUCACAUAUUAAGACACGAGUGAUUCAAAGGAAUAGUCUAUCAUUUGACAUAAAGACAAUAAUACUUCAAGCAUACUGCUACUUGUUGAGCUUGUGUUGGUUUUUCCCUUGAAGAGGAAAGGGUGAUGCAGCAAAGUAGAGAUAAGUAUUUCCCCCAGUUAGAGAACCAAGGUAUCAAUCCAGUAGGAGACAACACACAAAUCAUCAAUACCUGCACAAAAAAUCAAACAACUUGCACCCAACGCGAUAAAGGGGUUGUCAAUCCCUUCAUGGUUACUUGCAAAAGUGAGAUCUGAUAGAGAUAGAUGAAACUAAACAAAAGAUAAACUAAAUAUUUUUGGUUUUUUGGUUUAUAGAUCUGAAAGUAAAAGAUUGCAAAAUAGUAGAUCAGAAACUUAUAUGAUGGAAAAUAGAUUCAGGGGCCAUAGGUUUCACUAGUGGCUUCUCUCAAGAUAGCAAAUAAUAUGGUGGGUGAACAAAUUACUGUCGAGCAAUUGAUAGAAAAGCGCAAAGUUAUGACGAUAUCUAAGGCAAUGAUUAUGAAAUAUAGGCAUCACGCCGUGUCAAGUAGACCGACUCCUGCCUGCAUCUACUACUAUUACUCCACACAUCGACCGACUCCUGCCUGUAUCUAGAGUAUUAAGUUCAUGAAGAACAGAGUAACACAUUAAGUAAGAUGACAUGAUGUAGAGGAAUAAACUCAAGCAAUAUGAUGUAAACCCCAUGUUUUUAUCCUUGAUGGCAACAAUACAAUACGUGUCUUGCUGCCCCUACUGUCACUGGGAAAGGACACCGCAAGAUUGAACCCAAAGCUAAGCACUUCUCCCAUUGCAAGAAAAACCAAUCUAGUUGGCCAAACUAAACCGAUAGUUCGAAGAGAAUUACAAAGAUAUCAAAUCAUGCAUAUAAGAAUUCUGAGAAGAUUCAAAUAAUAUUCAUAGAUAAGCUGAUCAUAAAUCCACAAUUCAUCGGAUCUCGACAAACACACUACAAAAGAAGAUUACAUCGGAUAGAUCUCCAAGAACAUCGAGGAGAACAUGGUAUUGAGAAUCAAAGAGAGAGAAGAAGCCAUCUAGCUACUAGUGAUACGUCUCUAUCGUAUCUAUAAUCUUUGAUUGUUUCAUGCCAAUAUUAUACAACUUUCACAUGUUUUUGGCAACUUUUUAUAUGAAUUAUUGGACUAACCUAUUGAUCUAGUGCCGAGUGCGAGUUCCUGUUUUUCGCAAUUUUUUAUCGCAGAAAAUCCAUAUCAAGCAAAGUCCAAAUGCAAUCAAAUUUUACGGAGAAUUAUUUUGGAAUAUAUUGGGAGUUGGAAUCACUGCAAACGGAGGCCCACACAGCCCACAAGACACUAGGGCGCGCCAGAGGCCCCUGGCGCAUGGUGGUGAGUUGUGCCCUCCUCAAACGUCGGUUGGAGCUCUAUUUCGGGCACAAGGAAGCUUAUAUCCGGAAAAAAUCAUGUUAAAAUAUCAGCGCAAUCGGAGUUACGGAUCUCCCGGAAUAUAAGAAACGGUUUUCGGCCAGAUCAGGGAAACGCGAAACAGAAGAGAACAGAGAAGGAGAUCCAAUCUCGGAGGGGCUCCCACCCCUCCGCCGCCAUUGACACCAAGGACCAAAGGGGGAACUCUCCUCCCAUCUAGGGGGAGGCCAAGGAAGAAGAACAAGAAGGAGGGGGGCUCUCUCCCCCUCUCCCCCGGUGGUGCCAGAGUGCCGCCGGGGCUAGGAUCGUGACGGCGAUCUACAUCAACAAUCUUGCUACCGUCAACACCAACUCUCUCCCCCUCUAUGAAGCGUGUAACACCUCUCCUCCCCGCUGUAAUCUCUACUUAAACAUGGUGCUCAACUCCAUAUAUUAUUUCCCAAUGAUCUAUGGUUAUCCUAUUAUGUUUGAGUAGAUUCGCUUUGUCCUGUGGGUUAAUCGUGAUCUUGGUUGGUAUGAUUGUAUAUUUUAUUUAUGGUGUUGUCCUACGGUGCCCUCCGUUCUCGUGCAAACGUGAGGGCCCCCCACUAUAGGGUGUUGCAAUAUGUUCAUGGUUCGCUUAUGGUGGGUUGCGAGAGUGACAGAAGCUUAAACCCGAGUAAGUGGGGUAUGACGUAUGGGAGUAAAGAGGACUUGAUACUUAAUGCUAUGGUUGGGGUUCACGACCUUAAUGAUCUUUAGUAGUUGCGGAUGGGAGUAAAGAGGACUUGAUACUUAAUGCUAUGGUUGGGGUUCACGACCUUAAUGAUCUUUAGUAGUUGCGGAUGCUUGCUAGAGUUCCAAUCAUAAGUGCCUAUGAUCCAAGUAGAGAAAGUAUGUUAGCUCAUGCCUCUCCCUCAUAUAAAAUUACAAGAAUGAUUACCGAUACUUGUUAUCGAUUGCCUAGGGACAAAUAACUUUCUUAUUGACACAAACCCUUUUACUAAACACCUUACUUUUAUUAUCUUGCAAAGCACUUCUAGUUUUAUUCUUGCAAAGUAGUUCUAGCAUCACUCCUACAAACUAGUUUCAUACUUGUUUUCGGUAAAGCAGACGUCAAGUGUGCGUAGAGUUGUAUCGGUGGUCGAUAGAACUUGAGGGAAUAUUUGUUCUGCCUUUAGCUCCUCAUUGGGUUCGACACUCUUAUUUAUUGAAGAAGGCUACAAACGAUCCCCUAUACUUGUGGGUUAUCAAGACCUUUUUCUGGCGCAGUUGCCGGGAGUUAUAGCGUGGGGUGAAUAUUCUCGUGUGUGCUUGUUUGCUUUAUCACUAAGUAAUUUUUAUUUUCUAUUCUAAGUUGUUCUCUAUAUUCAGUUAUGGAUAUGGAACACGAAACACCAAAAAAAUUAGUUGUACUUGCUACUCAUGGAGAUGGGGAACCUCCUAAAACCCUCAAUGCUCGUUAUGUGAAAAAUAUUUUGCACUACUUUGAUAAUCCUGAGAAAACCCCAUUCAACUUGAUAAUGGGAGUAACGUUGGAUCAACGUGAAUACUUUAGAGAUUAUCGCUUGACACAAAAAGGGAAAUUGUUACGGGAUCAAAUUUAUAUGUUGCAUUGGCAUGCUCGGGAUUUAUGCUUGAGAUAUGAUUAUACUUGUUGCUCUAGGAUGAACGCUCCACACCUUCCCUUUUCAUGCAAAUUUAAUGAUAAUGAAACCUUAGCUUCUUAUGCUAAUGGUAUAUAUGAUUACUAUGAUGUGGAACGAAUAGAAGAAUUUGUUGCUUUUAAGGGUGCUUAUGAAAUUGAAUCUUUGUUUAUAAAGUAUGAAGCUUUUGAUGAUGAUGUUUAUAGACCUGAAAAUUUUGCGAUCCUUAAAUAUUGCUAUGAUAAUUACAAAUAAAAUUCCGAUAUUGAUGAAUUUAUUGAGAAAGUCUCCGUUGUCCAAGAAGAGACUAAUAUUUUGCAGGAGUAUAUGGAAGAAGGAACUGAUAAAACUGUGAGUUCAUUGGAUGAAAAAGAUGAUGAGGAGAGCGAAGAACAAAAGGAGGAAGAGCGGAUUAGCUACCCGUGCCCACCUUCUAAUGAGAGUAACUCUACAACUCAUACAUCAUUUAAUGCCCCUUCGUUCUUACCGAAGGAUGGAUGCUAUGAUAAUUGCUAUGAUCCCGUUGAUUCAUUUGAAAUAUCCCUUUUUGAUGAACUUGAUGCUUGUUAUGCUUGUGGCCAAGAUGCCAAUAUGAAUUAUGCUUAUGGAGAUGAACUUGCUAUAGUUCCUUAUGUUAAGAAUGACAUUGUUGCUAUUGCACCCACACAUGAUAGUCCUAUUAUCUUUUUGAAUUCUCCCAACUACACUAUAUCGGAGAAGUUUGCUCUUAUUAAGGAUUAUAUUGAUGGGUUGCCUUUUACCGUUGCACAUGAUAAUUUUGAUGAAUGUAAUAUGCAUGUGCUUGCUGCUCCUACUUGCAAUUAUUAUGAGAGAUGAACUACAUCUCCGCCUCUCUAUGUUUCCAACACGACAAAAUUGCAAGAAACUGCUUAUGCUCUGUAUUGGCCUUUACUUGAUGUGCAUGAAUUGUUCUUGUAUGACAUGCCGAUGCAUAGGAAGAGAGUUAGACUUCUUAAUUGCUUGAUAUAUGUUGCUUUGUGCUCACUACUAAAUGCCAAAUCAUUGCUAAUUAAAAUUUGCUUUGAUAUACCUUGGGAUCCGGGUGGAUUCAUUACUUGAGCACUAUAUGCCUAGCUAAAUGGCUUUAAAGAAAGCACUGCCAGGGAGACAACCCGGAGGUUUUAGAGAGUCAUUUAUUUCUGUUGAGUGCUUUUAUAUAGUUUAAAAACAAAAAAUAUAGAGGGGAACUUAAAACUUCACAAAAAUAAAAGCGAAAGUGAGAGAGACGAGCAUUGUGAAAGUGGGGGACGUCCUUGAACUUUGUUCAUGCCCAUGGAAACUUUGUGAAUCUUAAUUACAGAAACUUUUCAACAAAAAAAUUAUCCCCUUGUACAAAGCCAUUGUAUUAUAUCAUGUGCCAAGAUUUGCCUUUAGGCUGAUUAGAUUGCUUGUUGGUAUGUGCGGUGUAGAAACACAAACUUUGGCUGUAGCGCGUGAAUUUUCAUUUUUUACUGGAAGGUCAAAAGGUUUUGAAACUUUUUGAACACUAUUUCUAUACAAAUUUUUUAUUUCGUCCUAAUUUUUGAGAAUUUUUGGAGUACCAGAAGUAUGGUAGAUGUUCAUAUUGCUACAGACUGUCCUGUUUAAGACAGAUUCUGUUUUUGAUGCAUUGUUUUGCUUGUUUUAAUGAAACUAUCGAUUCUAUCGGUGGUAUAAGCCAUGGAAAAGUUAUAUUACAGUAUCUAAAAUGUAAAAAAAAUAUGAAUUGGUUUGCAACAGUACUUAGAGUAGUGAUUUGCUUUAUUAUACUAACGGAUCUUACCGAGCUUUCUGUUGAGUUUUGUGUGGAUGAGGUGAUCAAAGAUUGAGGAGGUCUCGAUAUAAGGAGAAGGAGGAGCAAGAGCUCAAUCUUGGGGAUGCCAAAUCCACCCCAAGUAAAUAUUCAAGGAGACUCAAGCGUCUAAGCUGGGGGAUGCCCCGGAAGGCAUCCCAUCUUUCUUCAACAAGUAUCGGUAUGUUUUCGUCUUUGUUUCGUUCACGUGAUAUGUGUAAAUCUUGGAGCGUCUUUUGUGUUUAUUUUUCACUUUUCUUUUAUGCACCAUGUUGGUAUGAGAUAGUCCAUGGUUGAUUUAUAGAAUGCUCAUUGCACUUCACUUAUAUCUUUUGAGUAUGGCUUUAUAGAAUGCUUCAUGUGCUUCACUUAUAUCCUUUUAAGUUUGGAUUGCCUGUUUCUCUUCACAUAGAAAACCGUUGUUUGUAGAAUGCUCUUUUGCUUCACUUAUAUUUGUUAGAGCAUAGUCUUUUGUAGAAAGAAUUAAACUCUCAUGCUUCACUUAUAUCCAUUUAGAGAGUCAACAGGAAUUGGUCAUUUGCAUGGUUAGUCAUAAAAUCCUACAUAAAACUUAUGUAUCACUGAAUAUGAUAUGUUUGAUUCCUUGCAAUAGUUUUGAGAUAUAGAGAUGAUAAUAUGUGGGAGUUACUAGUAAACGGUUGUGGUUAGUAGGAAUAUUGGUGUUACGGUUUGUGAUUCCCGAAGCAUGCACGUAUAGUCUCUCGUUAUGCUAUGAAGUUGGAGGAUGAUUUAUUAUUGAUUGUCUUCCUUAUGUGUGGCGGUUGGGGACGAGCGAUGGUCUUUUCCUACCAAUCUAUCCCCCUAGGGGCAUGCAUAGUAGUACUUUGCUUCGAGGGCUAAUAAACUUUUGCAAUAAGUAUAUGAGUUCUUUAUGACUAAUGUGAGUCCAUGGAUUAUACGCACUCUUACGUUUUCGCAAUUUGCUAGCCUCUACGGUACCGUGCAUUGCCCUUUCUCAUCUCGAGAGUCGGUGCAAACUUCGCUGGUGCAUCCAAACCCCGUGAUAUGAUACGCUCUAUCACACAUAAGCAUUAUUAUAUCUUCCUCAAAACAGCCACCAUACCUACCUAUUAUGGCUUUUCCAUGGCCAUUUCAAGAUAUAUUGCCAUGCAACUUCCACCGCUUCCAUUUGAUGACUUGAGAAUUCAUUGUCAUAUUGCUUUGCAUGAUCAUAUAGCUGACAUAGUAGUUGUGGCUCAGCCAUCGUUCAUCAUUUUUUAUACAUGUUACGCUAGAUCAUUGGACAUCCUGGUACAUGCCAGAGGCAUUCUUAUAGAGUCAUACUUUGUCAUAGGUAUCGAGUUGUAAUUUUUAUUUCUUUUGAGUUAUAAGUAAAUAGAAGUGUGAUGAUCAUCAUUAUUCAUUUUUAGAGCAGUGCCCCAGUGAGGAAAGGAUGAUGGAGAUUAUGAUUCCCCCACAAGUCGGGUUGAGACUCCGGACAAUGAGAGAAAAAGAAAAAAAGAAAAAAAGGAAAAAAAGAAAAGAAAGAAAAAGAAAGAAAGAAAAAAGACAAAGAGAGAAGGGGCAUUGUUAGUAUCCUUUACCACACUUGUGCUUCAAAGUAGCACCAUGUUUUUCAUAUGGAGAGUCUCCUAUGUUGUCACUUUCAUAUACUAGUGGGAAUUUUUCUUUAUAGGAUUAGAUGCACACCCACUUAGUUUUCAUAUUGAGCUUUCAUACACUUAUAGCUCUUAGUGCAUUCGUUGCAUGGCAAUCCCUACUCCUCACGUUGAUAUCAAUUGAUGGGCAUCUCCAUAGCCCAUUGGUUAGCCGCGUCGGUGUGAGACUUUCUUACUUUUCUUCUUCUUUAUAUUUACCCCUAUCAUCAUACUCUAUUCCACCCAUAGUGCUAUAUCCAUGGCUUGCGCUCAUGUAUUGCGUGAGGGUUGAAAAAGAUGAAGCGCGUUAAAAGUAUGAACCAAUUGCUCGGCUUGUCAUCGGGGUUGUGCAUGAUAAAUACUUAGUGUUAAGAAGACAGAGCAUGACAAGACUAUAUGAUUUUGUAGGGAUAGCUUUCUUUAGUGUUGAUAUUUUGAAAGACAUGAUUGUUUGUUCGGAUGCCUGAGUAUUGAUGUCUUUAUGUCAAAUUAUAGACUAUUGCUUUGAAUCACUUAUGUCUUAAUAUUCAUGCCAUGAUUAGACAUAUGAUCAAGUUUAUGCUAGGUAGCAUUCCACAUCAAAAAUUAUCUUUUUUAUCAUUUACCUACUCGAGGACGAGCAUAAAUUAAGCUUGGGGAUGCUGAUACGUCUCCGUCGUAUCUAUAAUUUUUGAUUGUUUCAUGCCAAUAUUAUACAACUUUCACAUGUUUUUGGCAACUUUUUAUAUGAUUUAUUGGACUAACCUAUUGAUCUAGUGCCCAGUGCGAGUUCUUGUUUUUUGCAUGUUUUUUGUAUUGCAAAAAAUCCAUAUCAAACGAAGUCCAAAUGCAAUAAAAUUUUACGGAGUAUUAUUUUGGAAUAUAUGUGAUUUUUGGGAGUUGGAAUCACUGCAAACGGAGGCCCACACAGCCCACAAGACACCAGGGCGCGCCAGAGGCCCCUAGCGCAUGGUGGUGGGUUGUGCCCUCCUCGAACGUCGGUUGGAGCUCUACUUCAGGUGCAAGGAAGCAUAUAUCCGGAAAAAAAUCGUGUUAAAAUCUCAGCGCAAUCGGAGUUACGGAUCUCCCGGAAUAUAAGAAACUGUUUUCGGUCAGAUCACGGGAACGCGAAACAGAAGAGAACAGAGAGGGAGAUCCAAUCUCGGAGGGGCUCCCGCCCCUCUGCCGCCAUGGAGACCAAGGACCAGAGGGGGAACUCUCCUCACAUCUAGGGGGAGGCCAAGGAAGAAGAAGGAGGGGGGCUCUCUCCCCCUCUCUCUCGGUGGCGCCGGAGUGCCGCCGGUGCUAGGAUCGUGACGGCGAUCUACAUUAACAAUCUUGCUACCGUCAACACCAACUCUCUCCCCCUCUAUGCAGCGGUGUAACACCUCUCCUCCCUGCUGUAAUCUCUACUUAAACAUGGUGCUCAACUCCAUAUAUUAUUUCCCAAUGAUCCAUGGUUAUCCUAUGAUGUUUGAGUAGAUUCGCUUUGUCCUGUGGGUUAAUCAUGAUCUUGGUUGGUAUGACUGUAUAUUUUAUUUAUGGUGUUGUCCUACGGUGCCCUCCGUUCUCGCGCAAAUGUGAGGGGCCCCCGCUGUAGGGUGUUGCAAUAUGUUCAUGGUUCGCUUAUGGUGGGUUGCGAGAGUGACUGAAGCUUAAACCCGAGUAAGUGGGGUAUGACGUAUGGGAGUAAAGAGGACUUGAUACUUAAUUCUAUGGUUGGGUUUCACGACCUUAAUGAUCUUUAGUAGUUGCAGAUGCUUGCUAGAGUUCCAAUCAUAAGUGCAUAUGAUCCAAGUAGAGAAAGUAUGUUAGCUCAUGCCUCUCCCUCAUAUAAAAUUACAAGAAUGAUUACCGGUACUUGUUAUCGAUUGCCUAGGGACAAAUAACUUUCUUGUUGACACAAACCCUUUUACUAAACACCUAACUUUUAUUAUCUUGCAAAGCACUUCUAAUUUUAUUCUUGCAAAGUAGUUGUAGCAUCACUCCUACAAACUAGUUUCAUACUUGUUUCGGUAAAGCAGACAUCAAGUGUGCGUAGAGUUGUAUCGGUGGUCGAUAGAACUUGAGGGAAUGUUUGUUCUGCCUUUAGCUCCUCGUUGGGUUCGACACUCUUAUUUAUCGAAGAAGGCUACAAACGAUCCCAUAUACUUGUGGGUUAUCAACUAGCUACAGACCCAUAGGUCUGAGGUAAACUACUCACGCUUCAUCGGAAGGGUAAUAGAGUUGAUGUAUAAGCCCUCCGUGAUCGAAUCCCCCUCCGGCAGGAUACCGAAAAAGACCCCUAGAUGGGAUGUCACGGGUACAUAAGGUUGCGGCGGUGGAAAAGUGUUUCGGUGGAUGCUUCUAGUGGUUUGGGGAUAUAUGUGAAUACAUAGGAGGAAGAAGUAGGUCAGUGGAGUCACGUGGGUCCCACAAGGCCGGGGGCGCGCCCUACCCCCUGGGCGCGCCCUCCCCCUUGUGGCCGCCUCGUGGCUCUUCCGACUUGAUCUCCAAGUCUCCUGGGUGUCUUCUGGUCCAAGAAAAAUCAUCGCGAAGGUUUUAUUCUGUUUGGACUCCGUUUGUUAUUCCUUCUCUGCGAAGCUCAAAAACAAGGAAAAAACAGAAACUGGCACUGGGCUCUAGGCUAAUAGGUUAGUCCAAAAAUUAAUAUAAAAUAGCAUAUUAAUGCAUAUAAAACAUCCAAAACAGAUAAUAUAAUAGCAUGGAACAAUAAAAAAUUAUAGAUGCGUUGGAGAUGUAUCAAGCAUCCCCAAGCUUAAUUCCUGCUCGUCCUCGAGUAGGUAAAUGAUAAAAACAAAAUUUUUGAUGUGGAAUGCUACCUAACAUAUUUAUCCAUGUAAUUUUCUUUAUUGUGGCAUGACUGUUCAGAUCCAUAAGAUUCAAAACAAAAGUUUAAUAUUGACAUAGAAACAAUAAUACUUCAAGCAUAUAUACUAACAAGGCAAUUAUGUCUUCUCAUAAUAACAUGGCCAAAGAAAGCUUAUCCCUACAAAAUCAUAUAGUCUGGCUAUGCUCCAACUUCACCACACAAAAUAUUCAAAUCAUGCACAAACCCGAUGACAAGCCAAGCAAUUGUUUCAUACUUUUGAUGUUCUCAAACUUUUUCAACUUUCAGGCAAUACAUGAGCGUGAGCCAUGGAUAUAGCACUUUAGGUGGAAUAGAAUAUGGUGGUUGUGGAGAAGACAAAAAGAGGGAGAUAGUCUCACAUCAACUAGGCGUAUCAACGGGCUAUGGAGAUGCCCAUCAAUAGAUAUCAAUGUGAGCGAGUAGGGAUUGUCAUGCAACGGAUGCACUAGAGCUAUAACUUUAUGAAAGCUCAAAAAUAAAACCUAGGGCGAUUUGAGGAAGCCCAUCGUUGGAAUAUACAAGCCAAGUUCUAUAAUGAAAAAUUCCCACUAGCAUAAAGUGACAACAUAGGAGACUCUCUAUCAUGAAGAUCAUGGUGCUACUUUGAAGCACAAGUGUGAAAAAAGGAUAGUAACAUUGCCCCUUCUCUCUUUUUCUCUUUUUUUGUUUUGCUUCUUUGGCCACUUUUUUUAUUUCCUCACAUGGGACAAUGCUCUAAUAAUGAAGAUCAUCACACUUUUAUUUACGUACAACUCAAGAAUUACAACUCGAUACUUAGAACAAAAUAUGACUCUAUGAAUGGCUCCGGCGGUGUACCGGGAUGUGCAACGACUCAAGAGUGACAUGCAUGAAAGAAUCAUGAAAGGUGGCUUCGCCACAAAUACAAUGUCAACUACAUAAUCAUGCAAAGCAAUAUGACAAUGAUGAAGCGUGUCAUAAUAAACGGAACGGUGGAAAGUUGCAUGACAAUAUAUCUUGGAAUGGCUAUGGAAAUGCCAUAAUAGGUAGGUAUGGUGGUUGUUUUGAGGAAGGUAUAUGAUGGGUGUAUGGUACCGGUGAAAGUUGCGUGGUACUUGAGAGGCUAGCAAUGGUGGAAAGGUGAGAGUGCGUAUAAUCCAUGGACUCAACAUUAGUCAUAAAGAAAUCACAUACUUAUUGCAAAAAUCUAUUAGUUAUCGAAACAAAGUACUACGCGCAUGCUCCUAGGGGGAUAGAUUGAUAGGAAAAGACCAUCGCUCGUCCCCGACCGCCACUCAUAAGGAAGACAAUAAAUAAAUAAAUCAUGCUCCGACUUCGUUACAUAACGGUUCACCAUACGUGCAUGCUACGGGAAUCACAAACCUCAACACACGUAUUCCUCCAAUUCACAAUUACUCACUAGUGUUCGCACAUGAACACGUCACCGUGUACCCUCGACGCCGGAGGUGAUGCACCGCAGCUCACGUCGAAGGAGACCCGCCGGAAGCGCGGUACGCAAGCAAUCUGGCGGGCGCUUUUGUAGACCCGAAACCCCACAUGCCCGGGAGGGACCCCGUCAGGGCGCGCUGCAGCUAUGGGCUGCCCUAGGCCGACCUAAUCGCCCCUAGGGCCUCGAGGUUCGCCGCCCUGCAAACGAAGAACGAACGAAGAACGAGAAGAAAGAUACAAGGGAGAGGGAUAAUGAAAACGAAAAGUAGUAGAUAGAUUUGUUCGAUUGUGUGUUGUUGUUCAAUCGGCCGUCACCUCUUGUCUAUAUAAGAGGUGGAUGGACUUCCUGUACAAGAAAAGGACUUGCCUAGCCGUCCAAAUCAUCAAAACCUAACAAAACACAGACUAUCCACGACCUCCGGCCCGGAUGUCCGGCUCAAGGCCCGGAUGAUCCGGCCUAACCCAGUUUUCUGACAACACCUCACUGUUUUGGCUCUAUAAUCCACAUCCGACAUCGGAUUUGGACGAGUUUUAUAUCAAAAUCAAUCGCCUCGACGAGACGCACAACGUUUAUGUUGAACACUUUUCGAUCUGAGGCCAUAUUGAAGGUGUUUCGGGCCGUUUUCUAAAGUCUGCAGCAGAAAAACUUGUCCAGACGUCCGGACGAUUUCCCGGAUUGUCCGGCCUUUACCCGGAUCAUCCGGGACUUGACCUAGAUCAUCUGGCUUCAAUUUUUAUCUGCUGUUGUUUGGGUCAAUUUUUCGGCCCCCGGCCGGAUGAUCUGAACCCCGGUCCGGAUAAAAAUAUAGCCUCAAGUAAAGUUACCGAUAGACGAAGACGAAAGAGGGGAUGCCUUCCGGGGCAGAUUAGGCUCUUGGUUGUCCUUGAAUAUUACCUUGGGGUGCCUUGUGCAUCCCCAAGCUAAGGCUCUUGCCACUCCUUAUUCAAUAGUCCAUCAAAUCCUUACCCAAAACUUGAAAACUUCACAACACAAAACUCAACAGAAAAUCUCAUAAGCUCCGUUAGUAUAAGAAAAUAAAUCACCACUUUUUGUACUGUUAUGAACUCAUUCUUUAUUUAUAUUGGUGUAAUAUCUACUGUAUUCCAACUUCUCCAUGGUUCAUACCCCCCAAUACUACUCAUAGAUUCAUCAAAAUAAGCAAACAACACAUAGAAAACAGAAUAUGUCAAAAACAGAACAGUCUGUAGUAAUCUGUAACUCUUGAAUACUUCUGUAACUAUAAAAAUUCUGAGAAAUUAGGACAACCUGGGAAAUUUGUGUACAAAUGUUUUGCAAAAAGAAUCAGAUCAAAAUCAUGCUUCUGUGGAUUAUGAAAAUUAUUUUCCUGGCGAAAAAGUUUCUGUUUUUCAGCAAGAUCAAAACAACUAUCACCAUAAGCCAUCCCAAAGGUCUUACUUGGCACAAACACUAAUUAAAACACAAAACCAUAUCUAAUAAGAGGCUAGAUGAAUUAUUCAAAGCAAAAUAGGAACAAAAAUCAAAAACAAAAAAUAAAAUUGGGUUGCCUCCCAACAAACGCUAUUGUUUAAUGCCCUUAGCUAGGCGUAAAAACACAAAUGGAUCUAGGUAUUGUCAUCUUUGGUAUGCAAUCCUUCAAUUGCACACUUAUAAUCCUGAGGAGAUUCUUUGGUUUUAUCAAUGAUCAAGCUCCUAGGCAAGAAAUCAAUAAAUUCAUUCAUGGCAAUCGAUUCCUUAAUAAUAUCGAGAAAAUUGGGGUGAACACUUAUUGUUUUGAGAACUCCAUUUUCUUUACUAGAAGAUUCACCCUUAUUCUUAGGAACAUAAAGAAACUUGGCAGUCUUAGUAGGAGGAAGAUUUUGAGUAGUUUUAACGGAGGAAAAAGCGGAUCCCAAGUGUGUAAUAAUGUCUUCUAGUUUGCCAAUUCUAGUAGAAUCUUGAUCUAUAUUUUCGUUAACUAUGGGUUCCGUUUCUCUAAGAUUCUUUAAAGUAACUCCUACCUUAGAUCCAUAUUGAGUAAUCUGAUUAUGAAUCUUUUUAUCAAAAUUUUCAAUCAACUCUAUGGUAGCAAUUUUAUUCUCAAUAAUAUCAAGCUUUUGCAUCACAUGUUCCAAGGUUAAAGCAGUUCCAUUGAUCAAAAGAGGUGGUGGGCCUAACAAAUCUAUCAUAGCAUUGUAAGAAUCAAAUGUAUGGCUCCCCAAAAAAUCCCUCCGGCAAUAGUAUCUAGAACAUAUCUAUUCCAAGGAGUAACACCCACAUAAAAAUUGCGAAGGAGAAUGGCAAUAGAUUGCUUUCGAGUAGAUCUAUUUUGAACAUUGCAAAUUCUAUACCAAGCAUCUUUUAAAUUUUCUCCAUCCCUUUGUUUAAAAUUAAGAACCUCAUUAUCGGGAGUGCUAACAAUAAUGGGAGGACUAGCCAUGAAAGCAAGACAAGCGAACUAGCGCACGAGCAAACAAAAAGCAACGAAGAAGACGAACGAAAGAAGGGCGAGAAAAAGCAAAGAAGAGGGCGAAGAAAAGGUAAAUCUUUUCGAAAAUCGUUUUAGAAGUGGGAGAGAGGAAAACGAGAGGUAAAUGGCGAAUAAUGUAAUGCAAGAGAUGAGAGUUUUAUGAUGGGUACUUGGUAUGUCUUGACUUGGCGUAGAUUGAUACGUCUCCGUCGUAUCUAUAAUUUUUGAUUGUUCCAUGCCAAUAUUAUACAACUUUCAUAUACUUUUGGCAACUUUUUAUACUAUUUUUGGGACUAACAUAUUGAUCUAGUGCCCAAUGCCAGUUCCUGUUUGUUGCAUGUUUUUUGUUUUGCAGAAAAUCCAUAUCAAACGGAGUCCAAACUGGAUAAAAACUGACGGAGAUAUUUUUUUGGAAUAUAUGUGAUUUUUGGGAAGAAGAAUCAACGCGAGACGAUGCCCGAGGGGGCCACGAGUUAGGGGGGCGCCCCCCAGGGGGUCAGGCGCGCCCUGGGCCCUCGUGGCCACCCCAUAAGGCGGUUGGUGCCCUUCUUUCGCCGCAAGAAAGCUAAUAUCCAGAUAGAGAUCGUGUCCAAAAUUCAGCCCAAUCGGAGUUACGGAUCUCUGGGAAUUUAAGAAACGGUGAAAGGGCAGAAUCAGGGAACGUAGAAACAGAGAGAGACAGAGAGACAGAUCCAAUCUCGGAGGGGCUCUCGCCCCUCCCACGCCAUGGAGACCAUGGACCAGAGGGGAAACCCUUCUCCCAUCUAGGGAGAAGGUCAAGGAAGAAGAAGAAGGAAGGGGGCUCUCUCCCCCUCGCUUCCGGUGGCACCGGAGUGCCGCCGGGGCCAUCAUCGUCACCACAAUCUUCACCAACAACUUCACCGCCGUCAUCACCAACUCUUCCCCCCUCUAUGCAGCGGUGUAAUCCCUCUUUUACCUGCUGUAAUCUCUACUUAAACAUGGUGCUCAACGCUAUAUAUUAUCUCCCAAUGAUGUAUGGCUAUCCUAUGAUGGUUGAGUAGAUCCGUUUUGUCCUAUGGGUUAAUUGAUGAUCGUGAUUGGUUUGAGUUGCAUGUUUUAUUAUUGGUGUUGUCCUAUGGUGCUCUCCGUGUCGCGCAAGCGUGAGGGAUCCCCGCUGUAGGGUUUGCAAUAUGUUCAUGAUUUGCUUAUGGUGGGUGGCGUGAGUGACAGAAGCACAUACCCGAGUAAGUAGGUUGUUUGCGUAUGGGAAUAAAGAGGACUUGAUACUUUAAUGCUAUGGUUGGGUUUUACCUUAAUGAUCUUUAGUAGUUGCGGAUGCUUGCUAGAGUUCCAAUCAUAAGUGCAUAUGAUCCAAGAAGAUAAAGUAUGUUAGCUUAUGCCUCUCCCUCAAAUAAGAUUGCAAUAAUGAUUACCGGUCUAGUUAUCGAUUGCCUAGGCACAAAUAACUUUCUUGUUGACAAAAGCUCUCUACUAAAACUAACUUAGUUGUGUCUUCUUCUAAACAGCCCCUAGUUUUUAUUUACACGCUCUUUAUUAUCUUGCAAACCUAUCCCACAACACCUACAAAGUACUUCUACUUUCAUACUUAUUCUAGGUAAAGCGAACGUUAAGCGUGCAUGGAGUUGUAUCGGUGGUCGAUAGAACUUGAGGGAAUAUUUGUUCUACCUUUAGCUCCUCAUUGGGUUCGACACACUUACUUAUCGAAAGAGGCUACAAUUGACCCCCUAUACUUGUGGGUUGCCAAGAUCUUUUUCUGGCGCCGUUGCCGGGGAGCAAUAGCGUGGGGUGAAUAUUCUCGUGUGUGCUUGUUUGCUUUAUCACUAAGUAGUUUUUAUUUUCUGUUCUAAGUUGUUCUCUAUCUUUAGUUAUGGAUAUGGAACACGAAAUACCAAAAAAUUAGUGGUACUUCCUACUCAUGGAGAUGGGGAACCUCCUAAAACCCUCGAUGCUGGUUAUGUGAAAAAUAUUAUGUACUACUUUGAUAAUCCUGAGAAAACCCCAUUCAAUUAUGUAAUGGGAGACACGUUGGAUCAACGUGAAUACUUUAGGGAUUGUCGCUUGACUCAAAAAGGGAAACUAUUAUGGGAUCAAAUUCAUAUGUUGCAUUGGUAUGCUCGGGAACUAUGCUUGAGAUAUGAUUAUACUUGUUGCUCUAGGAUGAACGCUCGACACCUUCCCUUUUCAUGCAAAUUUAAUGAUGAUAAAACCUUGGCUUCUUAUGCUAAUGGUAUAUAUGAUUACUAUGAUGUGGAACAAAUAGAAGAAUUCAUUGCUUUUAUGGGUGCUUAUGAAAUUGAAUCUUUGUUUAAAGAGUGUGAAAAUCUUGAUGAUGUUGUUUAUAGACUUGAAAAUUUUGCUAUACUUAAAUAUUGCUAUGAGAAUUAUGAAUUCAAUUCCGAUAUUGAUGAUUUUAUUGAGAGAGUCUCCGCUGUCCAAGAAGAGACUAAUAUUUUGCAGGAGUCUAUGGAAGAAGAAAUUAAUGACACUGUGAGCUCAUUGGAUGAAAAAGAAGAUGAGGAGAGCGAAGAACAAAAGGAGGAAGAGCGCAUUAGCUACCCGUGCCCACCUUCUAAUGAGAGAAACUCUUGAACUCAUACAUUGUUUAAUUUCCCUUCGUGCUUACCGAAGGAUGAUUGCUAUGAUGAUUGUUAUGAUCCCGUUGGUUCAUUUGAAAUAUCCCUUUUUGAUGAACUUGAUGCUUGCUAUGCUUGUGGCCAUGAUGCCAAUAUGAAUUAUGCUUAUGGAGAUGAACUUGCUAUACUUCCUUAUGUUAAACAUGAAAUUUUUGCUAUUUCCCCCACACAUAAUAGUCCUAUUAUUGUUUUGAAUUCUCCAAACUACACUAUAUCAGAGAAGUUUGCUCUUAUUAAGGAUUAUGUUGAUGGGUUGCAUUUUACCGUUGCACAUGAUGAUUUUGAUGAAUAUAAUAUGCAUGUGCUUGCUGCUCCUACUUGCAAUUAUUAUGAGAGAGGAACUAUAUAUCCACCUCUCUAUGUUUCCAACACGAUAAAAUUGCAAGAAACUGUUUAUACUAUGCAUAGGCCUUUACUUUGUGUGCAUGAAUUGUUCUUUUAUGACAUGCCGAUGCAUAGGAAGAGAGUUAGACUUCGUAGUUGCAUGAUAUAUGUUACCUUGGGAUCCGGGUGGAUCCAUUACUUGAGCACUAUAUGCCUAUCUUAAUGGCUUUAAAGAAAGCGCUGCCGGAGAGACAACCCGGAAGUUUUAGAGAGUCAUUUAUUUCUGUUGAGUGCUUUUAUAAAGUUUAAAAAAAAGAGGGGAACCCAAAACUUUUUCAAAAAGAAAAGCGAAAGUGAGAAAGACGAGCAAUGUUAAAGUGGGAGCUAGCCUUGAACUUUGUUCAUGCUCACAGAAACUUUGUGAAUCCUGAUUACAGAAACUUAUCAACAAAAAUAAUUAUCCCGUUGUACAAUUCCAUUGUAUUAUAAAAAUAAUGUGCCAAGCUUUGCCUUUAGGAUGUUUACAAUGCUUGUUGGUUUGUGCGGUGUAGGACAGUGUUAGAAAUAUGCCCUAGAGGCACUAAUAAAUUGGUUAUUAUUAUAUUUCCUUGUUCAUGAUAAUCGUUUAUUAUCCAUGCUAAAAUUGUAUUGAUAGGAAACUCAGAUACAUGUGUGGAUACAUAGACAACACCAUGUCCCUAGUAAGCCUCUAGUUGACUAGCUCGUUGAUCAAUAGAUGGUUACGGUUUCCUGACCAUGGACAUUGGAUGUCGUUGAUAAUGGGAUCACAUCAUUAGGAGAAUGAUGUGAUGGACAAGACCCAAUCCUAAGCCUAGCACAAGAUCGUGUAGUUCGUUUGCUAAGAGCUUUUCUAAUUUCAAGUAUCAUUUCCUUAGACCGUGAGAUUGUGCAACUCCCGGAUACCGUAGGAAUGCUUUGGGUGUACCAAACUUCACAACGUAACUGGGUGGCUAUAAAGGUGCACUACAGGUAUCUCCGAAAGUGUCUGUUGGGUUGGCACGAAUCGAGACUGGGAUUUGUCACUCCGUAUAAACGGAGAGGUAUCUCUGGGCCCACUCGGUAGGACAUCAUCAUAAUGUGCACAAUGUGACCAAGGAGUUGAUCACGGGAUGAUGUGUUACGGAACGAGUAAAGAGACUUGCCGGUAACGAGAUUGAACAAGGUAUCGGGAUACCGACGAUCGAAUCUCGGGCAAGUACUAUACCGCUUGACAAAGGGAAUUGUAUACGAGAUUGAUUGAAUCCUUGACAUCGUGGUUCAUCCGAUGAGAUCAUCGUGGAACAUGUGGGAGCCAACAUGGGUAUCCAGAUCCCGCUGUUGGUUAUUGGCCGGAGAAUGUCUCGGUCAUGUCGGCAUGGUUCCCGAACCCGUAGGGUCUACACACUUAAGGUUCGAUGACGCUAGGGUUAUAGGGAAUAGAUAUACGUGGUUACCGAAUGUUGUUCGGAGUCCCGGAUGAGAUCUCGGACGUCACGAGGAGUUCCGGAAUGGUCCGGAGGUAAAGUUUUAUAUAUGGGAAGUCCUGUUUUGGUCACCGGAAAAGUUUCGGGUGCUAUCGGUAACGUACCGGGACCACCGGGAGGGUCCCGGGGGUCCACCAGGUGGGGCCACCGGCCCCAAAGGGCUGCGUGGGCCAAGUGUGGGAAGGGACCAGCCCCUAGGUGGGCUGGUGCGCCUCCCACAAGAGGCCCAAGGUGCAGGGAAGGGGGGAAGGGGAAACCCUAGGCUCAGAUGGGCCUAAGGCCCACCUAGGGUGCGCCCCCCUCUCCCCCCUCUGGCCGCCCCCCUAGAUGCAUCUAGGGCUGGCCGCACCCCUUGGGGGGGAACCCUUGAUGGGGGCGCAGCCCCUCCCCUCCCUUAUAUAUAGUGGGGGUUUUGGGGCUGCCAAGACACGAGUCUCCCUCUCUCUUGGCGCAGCCCUACCCCUCUCCCUCCUCGUCUCUCGCAGUUCUUGGCGAAGCCCUGCUGGAGUGCCACGCUCCUCCAUCACCACCAUGCCGUUGUGCUGCUGCUGGACGGAGUCUUCCCCAACCUCUCCCUCUCUCCUUGCUGGAUCAAGGCAUGGGAGACGUCACCGGGCUGCACGUGUGUUGAACGCGGAGGCGCCGUGGUUCGGCGCUUAGAUCGGAAUCAACCGCGAUCUGAAUCGCUACGAGUAUGACUCCUUCAUCCGCGUUCUUGCAACGCUUCCGCUUAGCGAUCUACAAUGGUAUGUAGAUGCACUCCCCUUGCCCUCGGUGCUAGAUUACUCCAUAGAUUGAUCUUGGUGAUGCGUAGAAAAUUUUGAAUUUCUGCUACGUUCCCCAAAAGUGGCAUCAUGAGCUAGGUCUAUGCGUAGUUUCUAUGCACGAGUAGAACACAAAGUAGUUGUGGGCGUCGAUUUUGUCAAUUUACUUGCCGUUACUAGUCUUAUCUUGAUUCGGCGGCAUCGUGGGAUGAAGCGGCCCGGACCGACCUUACACGUACACUUACGUGAGAUAGGUUCCACCGACUGACAUGCACUAGUUGCAUAAGGUGGCUAGCGGGUGUCUGUCUCUCCCACUUUAGUCGGAUCGGAUCCGAUGAAAAGGUUCCUUAUGAAGGGUAAAUAGAAAUUGGCAUAUCACGUUGUGGCUUUUGCGUAGGUAAGAAACGUUCUUGCUAGAAUCCCAUAGCAGCCACGUAAAACAUGCAACAACAAUUAGAGGACGUCUAACUUGUUUUUGCAGGGUAUGCUAUGUGAUGUGAUAUGGCCAAAAGGAUGUGAUGAAUGAUAUAUGUGAUGUAUGAGAUUGAUCAUGUUCUUGUAAUAGGAAUCACGACUUUCAUGUCGAUGAGUAUGACAACCGGCAGGAGCCAUAGGAGUUGUCUUAAUUUACUGUAUGACCUGCGUGUCAAUGAAAACGCCAUGUAAUUACUUUACUUUAUUGCUAACCGUUAGCUAUAGUAGUAGAAGUAAUAGCUGGCGAGACAACUUCAUGAAGACACGAUGAUGGAGAUCAUGAUGAUGGAGAUCAUGGUGUCAUGCCGGUGACAAAGGUGAUCAUGCCGCACCUCGAAGAUGGAGAUCAAAAGGCGCAAGAUGAUAUUGGCCAUAUCAUGUCACUUUAUGAUUUGCAUGUGAUGUUUGUCAUGUUUACAUCUUAUUUGCUUAGAAUGACGGUAGCAUAAAUAAGAUGAUCCCUCACUAAAAUUUCAAGAGACGUGUUCCCCCUAACUGUGCACCGUUGCGAAGGUUCGUUGUUUCGAAGCACCACGUGAUGAUCGGGUGUGAUAGAUUCUAACGUUCGAAUACAACGGGUGUUGACGAGCCUAGCAUGUACAGACAUGGCCUCGGAACACAUGCGAAACACUUAGGUUGACUUGACGAGCCUAGCAUGUACAGACAUGGCCUCGGAAUACAAGAGAUCGAAAGGUCGAACAUGAGUCGUAUAGUAGAUGCGAUCAACAUGGAGAUGUUCACCGAUGAUGACUAGUCCGUCUCACGUGAUGAUCGGACACGGCCUAGUUUGACUCGGAUCAUGUAUCACUUAGAUGACUAGAGGGAUGUCUAUCUGAGUGGGAGUUCAUUAAUCAGAUGAACUUAAUUAUCAUGAACAUAGUCAAAAGGUCUUUGCAAAUUAUGUCAUAGCUUACGCUUUAGUUCUACUGUUUAAGAUAUGUUCCUAGAGAAAAAUUUAGUUGAAAGUUGAUAGUAGCAAUUAUGCGGACUGGGUCCGUAAAACUGAGGAUUGUCCUCAUUGCUGCACAGAAGGCUUAUGUCCUUAAUGCACCGCUCGGUGUGCUGAACCUCAGCGUCGUCUGUAGAUGUUGCGGAACAUCUGACAUACACGUUUUGAUGACUACGUGAUAGUUCAGUGCGUAAUGCUAACGGUUUAGAAUUGUGGCACCAAAGAUGGUUUUGAAACGUCACAGAACAUAUGAGAUGUUCCGAAGACUGAAAUUGGGAUUUCAGACUAGUGCCCACGUCAAGAGGUAUGAGACCUCUGACAAGUUUCUUAAGCCUGCAAACUAAGGGAGAAAAGCUCAAUCGUUGAGCAUGUGCUCAGAUUGUCUGAGUACUGCAAUUGCUUGAAUCGAGUGGGAGUUAAUCUUCCAGAUGAGAUAGUGAUGGUUCUCCAUAGUCACUGCCACCAAGCUAUUAGAGCUUCGUGAUGAACUAUAACAUAUCAGGGAUAAACAUGAUGAUCCUUGAGCAACUCGCGAUGUUUGUCACCGCGAAAGUAGAAAUCAAGAAGGAGCAUCAAUUGUUGAUGGUUAGUAAAACCACUAGUUUCUAGAAGGGCAAGGGCAAAAGGGAUACUUCAUGAAACAACAAAUCAUUUGCUGCUCUAGUGAAGAAUCCCAAGGUUGAACCCAAACCCAAGACUAAGUGCUUCUGUAAUGAGGGGAACGGUCACUGAAGCAGAACUACCCUAGAUACUUGGUAGAUGAGAAGGUAGGCAAGGUCGACAGAAGUAUAUUGGAUAUACAUUAUAUGAAUGUGUACUUUACUAGUACUCCUAGCAGCACCAGGGUAUUAGAUACCGGUUCGGUUGCUAAGUGUUAGUAACUCGAAAUAAAAGCUGCGGAAUAAACGGAGACUAGCUAAAGGUGAGAUGACGGUAUGUGUUGGAAGUGUUUCCAAGGUUGAUGUGAUCAAGCAUCGCAUGCUCCCUCUACCAUCGAGAUUGGUGUUAAACCUAAAUAAUUGUUAUUUGGUGUUUGCGUUGAGCAUAAACAUGAUUGGAUUAUGUUUAUCGCAAUACGGUUAUUCAUUUAAGGAGAAUAAUGGUUACUCUGUUUAUUUGAAUAAUACCUUCAAUGGUCUUGCACCUAAAAUGAAUGGUUUAUUGAAUCUCGAUCGUAGUGAUACACAUGUUCAUGCCAAAAGAUAUAAGAUAGUAAUGAUAGUACCACAUACUUGUGGCACUGCCACUUGAGUCAUAUUGGUAUAAAACGCAUGAAGAAGCUCCAUGUUGAUGGAUCUUUGGACUCGCUCGUUUUUGAAAAGAUUGAGACAUGCGAACCAUGUCUAUUGGUAUAUAUGCAUGAAGAAACUCCAUGCAGAUGGAUAGUUUGGACUCACUUGAUUUUGAAUCACUUGAGACAUGCAAAUCAUACCACAUGGGCAAGAUGACUGAAAGGCCUCGUUUUCAGUAAGAUGGAACAAGAGAGCAACUUGUUGGAAGUAAUACAUUUUGAUGUAUGCAGUUCAAUGAGUGCUGAGGCAUGCAGUGGAUAUCAUUAUGUUCUUACUUCACAGAUGAUUUGAGUAGAUGCUGAGUGUAUUUACUUGAUGAAACACAAGUCUGAAUUAUUGAAAAGUUCAAGUAAUUUCGGAGUGAAGUUGAAUAUCGUCGUGACAAGAGGAUAAAAUGUCUGUGAUAUGAUCAUAGAGAUGAGUAUCUGAGUUACGAGUUUGCACACAAUUAAGAAAUUGUGGAAAUUGUUUCACGACUAAUACCGCUUGGAGCACCAUAGUGUGAUGGUGUGUCCGAACAUCAUAACUGCACCCUAUUGGAUAUGGUGCAUACCAUGAUGUCUCUUAUCAAAUUACCACUAUCGUUUAUGGGUUAGGCAUUAGAGACAACCGCAUUCACUUUAAAUAGGGCACCACACAAUUCCGUUGAGACAACACCGUUUAGAGAAACCUAAGUUGUCGUUUCUUAAAAGUUUGGGGCUGCGAUGCUUAUGUGAAAAGUUUCAGGCUAAUAAGCUCGAACCCAAAGCGGAUAAAUGCAUCUUCAUAGAAUACCCAAAACAGUUGGGUAUACCUCCUAUUUCAGAUCUGGAAGCAAAAGUAAUUGCUUCUAGAAACGAGUCCUUUCUCAAGGAAAAGUUUCUCUCGAAAGAAUUGAGUGGGAGGAUGGUGGAGACUUGAUAAGGUUAUUGAACCGUCACUUCAACAAGUGUGUAGCAGGGCACAGGAAGUUGUUCCUGUGGCACCUACACCAAUUGAAGUGGGAGCUUAUGAUAGUGAUCAUGAAACUUCGGAUCAAGUCACUAUCAAACCUCGUAGGACGACGAGGAUGCGUACUACUUCAGAGUAGUACGUGAUCCUGUCUUGGAAGUCAUGUUGCUAGAGAACAAUGAACCUACGGGCUAUGGAGAAGCGAUGGUGGGCCCGGAUUCCGACGAAUGGCUCGAGGCCAUGAAAUCCGAGAGAGGAUCCAUGUAUAAAAGCAAAGUAUAGACUUUGGAAGAAAUACUUGAUAGUCGUAAGGCUGUUGGGUGCAGAUGGAUUUUAAAAGGAAGACAGUCAAUGAUGGUAAGUGUCACCAUUAAGAAAGCUCAGCUUGUCGUUAAGAUGUUUUCUGACAAGUUCAAGGAGUUGACUACCAUGAGACUUUCUCACUCGUAGCGAUGCUAAGAGUCUGUUGGAAUUAUAUUAGCAGUUACUGCAUCAUUUAUGAAAUCUUGCAGAUAGGAUGUCAAAACAUUGUUUCCUCGACGAUUUUCUUGAGGAAAGGUUGUAUGUGAUACAACCAGAAGGUUUUGUCAAUCCUGAAAGAUGCUAACAAGUAUGCAAUGCUCCAGCAAUCCUUCUGAGGAUUGGAGUAAGCAUCUCGGAGUUGGAAUGAACGCUUUGAUAAGAUGAUCAAAGUUUUUGGGUUUAUACAAAGUUUGUUAGAAAGUUGUAUUUACAAUAAAGUGAGUGGGAGCGCUACAACAUUUCUGAUAAGUAUAUGUGAAUGACAUAUUGUUGAUCCGAAAUGAUGUAGAAUUUCUGGAAAGCAUAAAGGGUUGUUUGAAAGGAGUUUUUCAAGGGAAGACCUGGAUAAAGCUGCUUACAUAUUGGGCAUCAAGAUCUAUAGAGAUAGAUCAAGACGCCUGAUGAUACUUUCAAAGAAUACAUACCGUGACAAGAUUUUGAAGGAGUUCAAAAUAGACCAGCAAAGAAGGAGUUCUUGGCUGUGUUACAAGGUGUGAGUAUUGAGUAAGACUCAAGACCUGACCACAGCAGAAGAGAGAGAAAGGACGAAGGUCGUCCCCUAUGAUUUAAACGAAGGCUCUACAGUAUGCUAUGCUAUGUACCACACAUGAAGUGUGCCUUGCCAUGAGUUGGUCAAGGGGUACAAUAGUGAUCCGGGAAUGGAUCACAUGAUAGCGGUCGAACAUAUCCUUAGUAUCUAGUGGACUAAGGAAUUUUCUCGAUUAUGGAGGUGAAAAGGAGUUCGUCGUAAAGGGUUACGUCGAUGCAAACUUUGACACUAAUCCGGAUGACUCUGAGUAGUAAACCGGAUUCGUAUAGUAGAGCAGUUAUUUGAAAUGGCUCCAAGUAGCGCGUGGUAGCUGCAUCCACAAGAUGACAUAGAUAUUCGUAAAGCACACACGGAUCUGAAAGGUUCAGACCCGUUGACUAAUAACCUCUCUCACAAGCGAGAUAUGAACAAACCCCAUGGGUGUUGGAUUCAUUACAUUCACAUGGUGAUGUGAACUCUUGGGUAUUAAUCACAUGGCGAUGUGAACUAGAUUAUUGACUCUAGUGCAAGUGGGAGACUGUUAGAAAUAUGCCCUAGAGGCAAUAAUAAAUUGGUUAUUAUUAUAUUUCCUUGUUCAUGAUAAUCGUUUAUUAUCCAUGCUAAAAUUGUAUUGAUAGGAAACUCAGAUACAUGUGUGGAUACAUAGACAACACCAUGUCCCUAGUAAGCCUCUAGUUGACUAGCUCAUUGAUCAAUAGAUGGUUACGGUUUCCUGACCAUGGACAUUGGAUGUCGUUGAUAACAGGAUCACAUCAUUAGGAGAAUGAUGUGAUGGACAAGACCCAAUCCUAAGCCUAGCACAAGAUCGUGUAGUUCGUUUGCUAAGAGCUUUUCUAAUGUCAAGUAUCAUUUCCUUAGACCAUGAGAUUGUGCAACUCCCGGAUACCGUAGGAAUGCUUUGGGUGUACCAAACGUCACAACGUAACUGGGUGGCUAUAAAGGUGCACUACCGGUAUCUCCGAAAGUGUCUGUUGGGUUGGCACGAAUCGAGACUGGGAUUUGUCACUCCGUAUAAACGGAGAGGUAUCUCUGGGCCCACUCGGUAGGACAUCAUCAUAAUGUGCACAAUGUGACCAAGGAGUUGAUCACGGGAUGAUGUGUUACGGAACGAGUAAAGAGACUUGCCGGUAACGAGAUUGAACAAGGUAUCGGGAUACCGACGAUCGAAUCUCGGGCAAGUACUAUACCGCUUGACAAAGGGAAUUGUAUACGAGAUUGAUUGAAUCCUUGACAUCGUGGUUCAUCCGAUGAGAUCAUCGUGGAACAUGUGGGAGCCAACAUGGGUAUCCAGAUCCCGCUGUUGGUUAUUGGCCGGAGAACGUCUCGGUCAUGUCGGCAUGGUUCCCGAACCCGUAGGGUCUACACACUUAAGGUUCGAUGACGCUAGGGUUAUAGGGAAUAGAUAUACGUGGUUACCGAAUGUUGUUCGGAGUCCCGGAUGAGAUCCCGGACGUCAUCAAGAGUUCCGGAAUGGUCCGGAGGUAAAGAUUUAUAUAUGGGAAGUCCUGUUUUGGUCACCGGAAAAGUUUCGGGUGCUAUCGGUAACAUACCGGGACCACCGGGAGGGUCCCGGGGGUCCACCAGGUGGGGCCACCGGCCCCAAAGGGCUGCGUGGGCCAAGUGUGGGAAGGGACCAGCCCCUAGGUGGGCUGGUGCGCCUCCCACAAGAGGCCCAAGGCGCAGGGAAGGGGGGAAGGGGGAAACCCUAGGCUCAGAUGGGCCUAAGGCCCACCUAGGGUGCACCCCCUCUCUCCCCCCUCUGGCCGCCCCCCUAGAUGCAUCUAGGGCUGGCCGCACCCCUUGGGGGGGGGAACCCUUGAUGGGGGCGCAGCCCCUCCCCUCCCCUAUAUAUAGUGGGGGUUUUGGGGCUGCCAAGACACGAGUCUCCCUCUCUCUUGGCGCAGCCCUACCCCUCUCCCUCCUCGUCUCUCGCAGUUCUUGGCGAAGCCCUGCUGGAGUGCCACGCUCCUCCAUCACCACCAUGCCGUUGUGCUGCUGCUGGACGGAGUCUUCCCCAACCUCUCCCUCUCUCCUUGCUGGAUCAAGGCAUGGGAGACAUCACCGGGCUGCACGUGUGUUGAACGCGGAGGCGCCGUGGUUCGGCGCUUAGAUCGGAAUCAACCGCGAUCUAAAUCGCUACGACUACGACUCCUUCAUCCGCGUUCUUGCAAUGCUUCCGCUUAGCGAUCUAGAAUGGUAUGUAGAUGCACUCCCCUUCCCCUCGGUGCUAGAUUACUCCAUAGAUUGAUCUUGGUGAUGCGUAGAAAAUUUUGAAUUUCUGCUACGUUACCCAACAGACAGAAACUUUGGCUGUAGUGCACGAUUUUACAGUUUUUUACUGGAACGUCAAAUGGUUCUGAAACUUUUUGCACUGUCUUUCUAUACAAUUUUUUUAUGUUUCCUAAUUUUGGCAGAAUUUUUGGAAUACCAGAAGUAUUGUGAAUGUUCGGAUUACUACCGACUGUCCUCUUUAAGACAUAUUCUGUUUUUUAUGCAUAGUUUGCUUAUUUUGAUGAAACUAUCGAUUUCUAUCAGUGGAUUAAGCCAUGGAAAAGUUAUAUUACAGUAGCUACAGUGCAAAAAAUAUGAAUUGCUUUGCAACAGUACUUAGAGUAGUGAUUUGCUUUAUUAUACUAACGGAUCUUACCGAGCUUUCUGUUGAGUUUUGUGUAUGAAGUGUUCGAAGAUCGAGGAGGUCUCGAUAUGAGGAGAAGGAGAAGAGACAAGAGCUCAAGCUUGGGGAUGCCCAAGGCACCCCAAGUAAAUAUUCAAGGAGAUUCAAGUGUCUAAGGUUGGGGAUGCCCCGGAAGGCAUCCCAUCUUUCUUCAACAAGUAUCGGUAUGUUUUCGGAUUCAUUUCGUUCAUGCGAUAUGUGCAAAUCUUGGAGCGUCUUUUGCAUUUAGUUUUCUUUUUUCUUUAUGCACCAUGCUGGUAUGAGAUAGUCCAUGGUUGAUUUAUAGAAUGCUCUUUGCACUUCACUUAUAUCUUUUGAGUAUGGCUUUAUAGAAUGCUUCACGUGCUUCACUUAUAUCAUUUGAAGUUUGGAUUACCUGUUUCUCUUCACAUAGAAAACCGCCAUUUGUAGAAUGCUCUUUUGCUUCACUUAUAUUUGUUAGAGCGUGGGCAUAACUUUUGUUGAAAGAAUUAAGCUCUCUUUCUUCACUUAUAUCUAUUUAGAGAGUUGACAGGAAUUGGUCAUUCACAUGGUUAGUCAUAAAAUCCUACAUAAAACUUGUAUAUCACUGAAUAUGAUAUGUUUGAUUCUUUGCAAUAGUAUUGCGAUAUAAAGAUGGUGAUAUUAGAGUCAUGCUAGUGGGUAGUUGUGGAUUGUAGAAAUACUUGUGUUGAAGUUUGUGAUUCCCGUAGCAUGCACGUAUGGUGAACCGUUAUGUAACGAAGUUAGAGCAUGAGGUAUUUAUUGAUUGUCUUCCUUAUGAGUGGCAGUCGGGGACGAGCGAUGGUCUUUUCCUACCAAUCUAUCCCCCUAGGAGCAUGCGCGUAGUACUUUGUUUCGAUGACUAAUAGAUUUUUGCAGUAAGUAUGUGAGUUCUUUAUGACUAAUGUUGAGUCCAUGCAUUAUACGCCUUCUCACCCUUCCAUCAUUGCUAGCCUCUUCGGUACCGUGCAUUGCCCUUUCUCGCCUCGAGAGUUGGUGCAAACUUCGCCAGUGCAUCCAAAACCCGUGAUAUGAUACGCUCUAUCACACAUAAACCUCCUUAUAUCUUCCUCAAAACAGCCACCAUACCUACCUAUGAUGGCAUUUCCAUAGCCAUUCCGAGAUAUAUUGCCAUGCAACUUCCAUCAUCAUCAUAUACAUGACUUGAGCAUUUAUUGUCAUAUUGCUUUGCAUGAUCGUAAGAUAUCUAGCAUGAUGUUCAUUGCUACGCUAGAUCAUUGCACAUCCCGGUACACCGCCGGAGGCAUUCAUAUAGAGUCAUAUCUUUGUUCUAGUAUCGAGUUGUAAUAUUGAGUUGUAAGUAAAUAAAAGUGUGAUGAUCAUCAUUAUUAGAGCAUUGCCCCAAGAAAAAAAAGAGGCCAAAGAAGCCUAAAUAAAAAAGGGGGCCAAAGAAGGCCAGCAAAAAAAGAAGAAAAAAAAGGGCAAUGUUACUAUCCUUUUACCACACUUGUGCUUCAGAGUAGCACCAUGUUCUUCAUAUAGAGAGUCUCUUGAGUUAUCACUUUUAUAUACUAGUGGGAAUUUUCAUUAUAGAACUUGGCUUGUAUAUUCCGAUGUUGGGCUUCCUCAAAUGCCCGAGGUCUUCAUGAGCAAGCAAGUUGGAUGCACACCCACUUAGUUUCCGGUUUGAGCUUUCAUACACUUAUAGCUCUUAGUGCGUCCGUUGCAUGACAAUCCCCAGUCCUCACAUUGACAUCAAUUGAUGGGCAUCUCCGUAGCCCGUUGAUUAGCCGCGUCGAUGUGAGACUUUCUUCCUUUUUGUCUUCUCCACACAACCUCUACCAUCAUAUUCCAAUCCACCUAUACUGCUAUGUCCAUGGCUCACGCUCAUGUAUUGCGUGAAAGUUGAAAAGGUUUAAGAACAUCAAAAGUAUGAAACAAUUGCUUGGCUUGUCAUCGGGGUUGUGCAUGAUUUGAAUAUUUUGUGUGGUGAAGAUGGAGCAUAGCCAGACUUAUAUGAUUUUGUAGGGAUAACUUUUUUUGGCCAUGUUAUUUUGAAAAGACAUGAUUGCUUUAUUAGUAUGCUUGAAGUAUUAUUGUCUUAAUGUCAAAUGAUAGACAAUUGAUUUGAAUCACUCGUGUCUUAAUAUUCAUGCCAUGAUUAGAUUACUUGAUCAAGAUUAUGCUAGGUAGCAUUCCACAUCAAAAAUUAUCUUUUUUAUCAUUUACCUACUCGAGGACGAGCAGGAAUUAAGCUUGGGGAUGCUGAUACGUCUCCGUCGUAUCUAUAAUUUUUUAUUGUUCCAUGCCAAUAUUAUACAACUUUCAUAUACUUUUGGCAACUUUUUAUAAUAUUUUUGGGACUAACAUAUUGAUCCAGUGCCCGGUGCCAGUUCCUGUUUGUUGCAUGUUUUUUUUUCCGCAGAAAAUCCAUAUCAAACGGAGUCCAAACGGGAUAAAAACUGAUGGAGAUUUUUUUGGAAUAUAUGUGAUUUUUGGGAAGAAGAAUCAACGCGAGACGAUGCUCGAGGGGGCCACGAGGUAGCGGGGUGCGCCCUGGGCCCUCGUGGCCACCCCUUAAGGCGGUUGGUGCCCUUCUUUCGCAGCAACAAAGCAAAUAUCUAGAUAGAGAUCGUGUCCAAACUUUAGCCCAAUCGGAGUUACGGAUCUCCGGGAAUUUAAGAAACGGUGAAAGGGCAGAAUCAGGGACCGCAGAAACAGAGAGAGACAGAGAGACAGAUCCAAUCUCGGAGGGUCUCUCGCCCCUCCCACGCCAUGGAGAUCAUGGACCAGAGGGGAAACCCUUCUCCCAUGUUGGGAGAAGGUCAAGGAAGAAGAAUAAGAAGACAUGGGGCUCUCUCCCCCUCGCUUCGGGUGGCACUGGAGUGCCGCCGGGGCCAUCAUCGUCACCGCAAUCUUCACCAACAACUUCACCGCCGUCAUCACCAACUCUUCCCCCCUCUAUGCAGCGGUGUAACCCCUCUUUUACCUGCUGUAAUCUCUACUUAAACAUGGUGCUCAACGCUAUAUAUUAUUUCGCAAUGAUGUAUGGCUUUCCUAUGAUGUUUGAGUAGAUCCGUUUUGUCUUAUGGGUUAAUUGAUGAUCGUGAUUGGUUUGAGUUGCAUGUUUUAUUAUUGGUGCUGUCCUAUGGUGCUCUCCGAGUCGCACAAGCGUGAGGGAUCCCCGCUGUAGGGUUUGCAAUAUGUUCAUGAUUUGCUUAUGGUGGGUGGCGUGAGUGACAGAAGCACAUACCCGAGUAAGUAGGUUGUUUGCGUAUGGGAAUAAAGAGGACUUGAUACUUUAAUGCUAUGGUUGGGUUUUACCUUAAUGAUCUUUAGUAGUUGCGUAUGCUUGCUAGAGUUCCAAUCAUAAGUGCAUAUGAUCCAAGAAGAGAAAGUAUGUUAGCUUAUGCCUCUCCCUCAAAUAAGAUUGCACUAAUGAUUACCGGUCUAGUUAUCGAUUGCCUAGGGACAAAUAACUUUCUUGUUGACAAAAUCUCUCUACUAAAACUAACUUAGUUGUGUCUUCUUCUAAACAGCCCCUAGUUUUUAUUUACGCGCUCUUUAUUAUCUUGCAAACCUAUCCCACAACACCUACAAAGUACUUCUAGUUCAUACUUAUUCUAGGUAAAGCGGACAUUAAGCGUGCGUAGAGUUGUAUCGGUGGUCGACAGAACUUGAGGGAAUAUUUGUUCUACUUUAGCUCCUCGUUGGGUUUGACACUCUUACUUAUCGAAAGAGGAUACAAUUGAUCUCCUAUACUUGUGGGUUAUCAAGAUAGAUCUCCCCGGCAACGGCGCCAGAAAUUCUUCCUGCUAGUUCUUGAGCUUGCGUUGGUUUUUUCCUUGAAGAGGAAAGGGUGAUGCAGCAAAGUAGAGAUAAGUAUUUUCCUUAGUUAGAGAACCAAGGUAUCAAUCCAGUAGGAGACAACGCACAAAUCACCAAUACUGGCACAAACAAUCAAACAACUUGCACCCAACGCGAUAAAGGGUUUGUCAAUCCCUUCACGGUUAUUUGUAAAAGUGAGAUCUGAUAGAGAUAAAUGAAGCUAAACAAAAGAUAAAGUAAAUACUUUUGGGGUUUUUGGUUUAUAGAUCUGAAAGUAAAAGAUUGCAAAAUAGGAGAUCAAAAACUUAUAUGAUGGAAAAUAGACCCGGGGGCCAUAGGUUUCACUAAAGGCUUCUCUCAAGAUAGCAAAUAAUACGAUGGGUGAACAAAUUAUGGUCGAGCGUUUGAUAGAAAAGUGCAAAGUUAUGAUGAUAUCUAAGGCAAUGAUUAUGAAUAUAGGCAUCACGUCCGUGUCAAGUAGAUUGACUCCUGCCUGCAUCUACUACUAUUACUCCACACAUCGACCGACUCUUGCCUGCAUCUAGAGUAUUAAGUCCAUGAAGCACAGAGUAACACAUAAAAUAAGAUGACAUGAUGAAGAGGAAUAAACUCAAGCAAUAUGAUGUAAACCCCAUCUUUUUAUCCUUGAUGGCAACAAUACAAUACGUGCCUUGUUUCCCCUACUGUCACUGCGAAAGGACACCGCAAGAUUGAACCCAAAGCUAAGCACUUCUCCCAUUGCAAGAAAAACCAAUCUAGUUGGCCAAACUAAACCGAUAGUUCGAAGAGAAUUACAAAGAUAUCAAAUCAUGCAUAUAAGAAUUCAGAGAAGAUUCAAAUAAUAUUCAUAGAUAAGCUGAUCAUAAAUCCACAAUUCAUGAGAUCUCGACAAACACACUGCAAAAGAAGAUUACAUCGGAUAGAUCUCCAAGAAUAUCAAGGAGAACAUGGUAUUGAGAAUCAAAGAGAGAGAAGAAGCCAUCUAGCUACUAGCUAUGGACCCGUAGGUCUGAGGUAAACUACUCACGCUUCAUCGGAAGGGCAAUAGAGUUGAUGUAGAAGCCCUCCGUGAUCGAAUCCCCCUCCGGCACGAUGCCGAAAAAGGCCCCUAGAUGGGAUCUCACAGGUACAGAAGGUUGCUGCGGUGGAAAAGUGUUUUCGUGGAUGCUUCUGGUGGUUUGGGGAUAUACGUGAAUAUAUAGGAUGAAGAAGUAGGUCGGUGGAGUCACGUGGGGCCCACAAGGCAGGGGCGGCCCUCCCCCCUUGUGGCCGCCUCGUGGCUCUUCCAACUUGAUCUCCAAGUCUCCUGGGUGUCUUCUGGUCCAAGAAAAAUCAUCGCGAAGGUUUUAUUCCGUUUGGACUCCAUUUGGUAUUCCUUCUCUGCGAAGCUCAAAAACAAGGAAAAAACAGAAACUAGCUUUCGGCUCUAGGUUAACAGGUUGGUCCCAAAAAUAAUAUAAAAUAGCAUAUUAAUGCAUAUAAAACAUCCAAAACAGAUAAUAUAAUAGCAUGGAACAAUCAAAAAUUAUAGAUACGUUGGAGACGUAUCACAUACUAAUAAGGCAAUCAUGUCUUCUCAAAAUAACAUGGCCAAAGAAAGUUAUGUGUACAAAAUCAUAUAGUCUGGCUAUGCUCCAUCUUCACCACACAAAGUAUUUCAUCAUCCACAACCCUGAUGACAAGCCAAACAAUUGUUUCGUACUUUUAAUGUUCUCAGGCCUUUUCAACUUUCACGCAAACAUGAGCGUGAGCCAUGGAUAUAGCACUAUAGGUGGAAUAGAAGGUGGUUGUGAGGAGAAGAAAAAAAAGGGAGAAAGUCUCACAUCAACUAGGUAAAUUAAUGGGCUAUGGAGAUGCCCAUCAAUCGAUAUCCAUGCAAGUGAGUAGGGAUUGCCAUGCAACGGAUGCACUAGAGCUAUAAGUGUAUGAAAGCUCAAACUGAAAACUAAGUGGGUGUGCAUCCAACUUGCUUGCUCAUGAAGACCUUGGGCAUUCGAGGAAGCCCAUCAUCGGAAUAUACAAGCCAAGUUCUAUAAUGAAAAAUUCCCACUAGUAUAUGAAAGUGACAACAUAGGAGACUCUCUCUAUGAAGAACAUGGUGGUACUUUGAAGCACAAGUGUGGUAAAAGGAUAGUAGCAUUGCCCGUUCUCUCUUUCUCUCAUUUUUUUUUGUUUUUUUGGCCCUCUAUUUUUUUGGCCACUUUUUUUUUCGUCCGGAGUCUCAUCCCGACUUGUGGGGGAAUCACAGUCUCCAUCAUCCUUUCCUCACUGGGGCAAUGCCCUAAUAAUGAUGAUCAUCACACUUUUAUUUACUUACAACUCAAGAAUUACAACUCGAUACUAGAACAAAAUAUGACUCUAUAUGAAUGCCUUCGGCGGUGUACCGGGAUGUGCAAUGACUCAAGAGUGACAUGUAAAAAAAUUAUGAAUGGUGGCUUUGCCUCAAAUACUAUGUCAAGUACAUGAUCAUGCAAAGCAAUAUGACAAUGAUGAAGCGUGUCAUAAUAAAUGGAACGGUGGAAGUUGCAUGGCAAUAUAUCUCGGAAUGGCUAUGGAAAUGCCAUAAUAGGUAGGUAUGGUGGUUGUUUUGAGGAAGGUAUAUGGGGUGUAUGGUACCGGCGAAAGUUGCGCGGUACAAGAGAGGUUAGCAAAGGUGGAAGGGUGAGAGUGCAUAUAAUCCAUGGACUCAACAAUAGUCAUAAAGAACUCACAUACUUAUUGCAAAAGUCUAUUAGCUAUCGAAACAAAGUACUACACGCAUGCUCCUAGGGGGAUAGAUUGGUAGGAAAGGACCACCGCUUGUCCCCGACCGCCACUCAUAAGGAAGACAAUCAAAAAAUAAAUCAUGCUCCUACUUCGUUACAUAACGGUUCACCAUACGUGCAUGCUACGGGAAUCACAAACUUUUAACACAAGUAUUUCUACCAAUCAACAAUUACUUACUAGCAUGACUCUAAUAUCACCAUCUUUAUAUCACAAAACUAUUGCAAGAAAUCAAACAUAUCAUAUUCAGUGAUCCACAAGUUUUUAUGUAGAAUUUUAUGACUAACCAUGUGAAUGACCAAUUCCUGCCAACUCUCUAAAUAGAUAUAAGUGAAGCAAGAGAGUUUAAUUCUUUCUACAAAAGAUAUGCCCACGCUCUAAAAAAUAUAAGUGACGCAAAAGAGCAUUCUACAAAUGGCGUUUUCUAUGUGUAGGGAAACAUGCAAUCCAAACUUCAAAUGAUAUAAGUGAAGCACAUGAAGCAUUCUAUAAAGCCAUACUCAAAAGAUAUAAGUGAAGUACAAAGAGCAUUCUAUAAAUCAACCAAGGACUAUGUCAUACCAGCAUGGUGCAUUAUUAAAAGAAAAAGAAAAAGGCACUCGACGCUCCAAGAUUUACGCAUAUCAUGUGACGAAUAAAAAUAUAGCUCCAAGUAAAAUUACCAAUGAGCAUUAGAAGAAAGAGGGGAUGCCUUUCGGGGCAUCCCCAAGCUUAGUUGCUUGGGAGUCCUUGAAUAUUACCUUGGGGUGCCUCAAGCAUCCCCAAGCUUAGGCUCUUGCCACUCCUUAUUCCUUCACCCAUCAUGAUCUCACCCAAAACUUGAAAACUUCAAUCACACAAAUCUUAACAAAACCCUCGUGAGAUCCGUUAGUAUAAUGAAACAAAUCACCACUUUAAGUACUGUUGCAAACCCAUUCAUAUUUUAUUUUUGCAUUAUAACUAUUGUACUCUAACUUCUCCAUGGCUUAUACAAUGAUAAAGUCCACAGUUUCAUCAAAACUAGCAAAACAAUGUAUCAAAAACAGAAUCUGUCUUAAACAGGACAAUCUGUAGCAAUCUGAACAUCUACCAAACUUCUGUACCUCCAAAAAUUCUGAAACAUUAGAAAAAAAUAAAAAAUUUGCAUAGCAGUAUUGUGUAAAAAUUUCAGAAACAUUUGACGUUCGAGUAAAGAAUGAAAAUUCACGCGCUACAGCCAAAGUUUCUAUUUUUGCACUGCACAUACCAAACAAGCAAUCUAAUCAUUUUAAAGGCAAAUCUUGGAACAUUAUUUUUAAAAUACAAUGGAUUUAUACAAGGGGAUAAUUAUUUUUGUUGUAAUUAAUAUUCACAAAGUUUCCAUGGGCAUGAACAAAGUUCAAGGACGUCUGCCACUUCAACGGUGUUCGUCUUUCUCACUUUCACUUUUCUUUUUUAAAAGUUUUAGGUUCCCCUCUAUAUUUUUUUUGUUUUUAAACUUUAUAAAAGCACACAACAGAAAUAAAUGACUCUCUAAAACUUCCGGGUUGUCUCCCUGGCAGCGCUUUCUUUAAAGCCAUUAAGCUAGGCAUAAAGUGCUCAAGUAAUGGAUCCACCCGGAUCCCAAGGUAUAUCAAAGCCAAUUUUAAUUAACAAUGAUUUGUGAUUUAGUAGUGAGCACAAAGUAUAAUAUAUCAUGCAACAACAAAGUCUAACUCUCUUCCUAUGCAUCGGCAUGUCAUAAAAGAACAAUUCAUGCACACAAAGUAAAGGCCAAUGCAUAGUAUAAACAGUUUGUUGCAAUUUUGUCGUGUUGGAAACAUAGAGAGGCGGAGAUGUAGUUCCUCUAUCGUAAUAAUUGCAAGUAGGAGCAUCAAGAACAUGCAUAUUAUAUUUAUCAAAAUCAUCAUGUGUAGUAGUAAAACGCAACCCAUCAAUAUAAUCCUUAAUAAGCGCAAACUUCUCCGAUAUAGUGUAGUUGGGAGAAUUCAAAAAGAUAAUAGGACUAUCAUGCGUGGUUGCAAUAGCAACAAUUUCAUUUUUAACAUAAUAACUAUAGCAAGUUCAUCUCCAUAAGCAUAAUUCAUAUUGGCAUCAUGGCCACAAGCAUAGCAAGCAUCAAGUUCAUCAAAAAGGGAUAUUUCAAACGAAUUCAAGGGAUCAUAGCAAUCAUCAUAGCAAUCAUCCUUCGGUAAGCACGAAGGGAAAUUAAACAAUGUAUCAGUUGAAGAGUUACUCUCAUUAGAAGGUGGGCACGGGUGAUCAAUCCGCUCUUCCUCCUUUUGUUCUUCGCUCUCCUCGUCAUCUUUUUCAUCUAAUGAGCACACAAUUUUAUCAAUUUCUUCUUCCAUAGAUUCCUGCAAAAUAUUAGUCUCUUCUCGGACAACGGAGACUUUCUCAAUAAAUGCAUCAAUAUUGGAAUUAUAAACAUAAUUCUGAUAGCAAUAUUUAAGUAUAGCAUAAUUUUCAAGUAUGUAAACAGCAUCAUCAUAGUUUUCACACUUUCCGAACAAAGAUUGAAUUUCAUAAGCACCCUUAAAAGCAAUGAUUUCUUCUAUUCAUUCCACACCAUAGUAAUCAUAUAUACCAUUAACAUAAGAAGCCAAGGUUUUAUUAUCACUAAAUUUACAUGAAAAGGGAAGGUGUGGAGCCUUCAUCCUAGAGCAACAAGUAUAAUUAUAUCUCAAUCAUAAAUUCCAAGCAUACCAAUGCAACAUAUGAAUUUAAUCCCAUAACACUUUCCCUUUUUGAGUCAAGCGAUAACCCCUAAAGUAUUCACGCUGAUCCAAUGUGUCUCCCAUUAUAUAUUUGAAUGGGGUUUUCUCAGGAUUAUUAAAGCAGUGCAUAAUAUCUUUCACAUAAUGAGCAUCGAUGGUUUUAGGAGGUUCCCCAUCUCCAUGAGUAGCAAGUACACCUAAUUUUUUGGUAUUUCGUGCUCCAUAUCCAUAACUAAAGAUAGAGAACAACUUAGAAUAGCAAAUAAAAUCUACUAAGUGAUAAAGCAAACAAGCACACACGAGAAUAUUCACCCCACGCUCUCCCCGGCAACGGCGCCAGAAAAAGGUCUUGAUAACCCACAAGUAUAGGGGACCAGCUAUAGCCUCUUUCGAUAAGUAAGACUGUCGAACCCAAUGAGGAGCUAAAGGUAGAACAAAUAUUCCCUCAAGUUCUAUCGACCACCGAUACAACUCUACACAUGCUUAAUGUUCGCUUUACCUAGAACAAGUAUGAAACUAGAAGUACUUUGAAGGUGUUGUAGGAUAGGUUUGCAAGAUAAUAAAGAGCACAUAAAUACAAUCUAGGGGUUGUUUAGAUAAAGAAACAACUACGUUAGUUUUAUAGGAGAGCUUUUUGUCACAAGAAAGUUAUUUGUCCCUAGGCAAUUGAUAACUAGAUCGGUAAUCAUUAUUGCAAUUUUAUAUGAGGGAGAGGCAUAAGCUAACAUACUUUCUCUUCUUGUAUCAUAUGCACUUAUGAUUGGAACUCUAGCAAACAUCCCUAACUACUAAAGAUCAUUAAGGUAAAACCCAACCAUAGCAUUAAAGUGUCACGACCGGUUUUCCAAUAAAAUAACUAUUGAGAAACCGAUCCCUUUUACGGACCAGUAGAGAAGAAUUCCUUCUCACGGGUAGAAAAUUUCUUGAUCACAGAAGAAAAAUACCAGGAGUACUAAAUAUAAUACAAGGUUGAGCGGAGACUGCUCAACAAUUUAUUACAAACACGCCAAUAAUACUUAAAGGCGGAUAGGGUGGCCUAACUACUAACUCACGAUAAAGCGGUGGUGGAAAAAUAUCACAGCGGAGAGGGUGACAAGACUCCUGAAUCUAACAACUCUUCGAGCGUCGGAGUGAGGCUCGAGGAUACUUAUUUUGGGUGGCGGAAGCGUAUAUAAUACAAGUGACCAAUAUCCAGGAUCGCACGGGACUGACUGGGACUCCUCUAGGCGUCGGACUCACUAUCAAACUCUUCAUCCAUGAGAUCGCCUUCGUCAACAUCUGGCCAAAUCAACAAGCCAGGUGAGUACUAUGAAAGUACUCGCAAGACAGUUCGGACAUAAGAUAUAACAAAUGUAAACAUGAAUGCGUAUGAACAGAUUAACAAGCGCAUCAGACAAUGAGGUAAUAAUGCAUGGGAAAUAAAAGGGAAGUCGGGCGGUAGUCCUCCCGAAAUCCCAAAGCAAUACUGAGGGCCAAACGAGUGUCUGAAUGACUCCUCGAGAGGAAACAAAAGAAAUAACAAUGCCGCAGUCGGGCGUCAAGGCGACACCACAUAAAGGGCUUAUAAUAGAAUAUAAAUGACAGUGCGUGCCACAGUCGGACGUCUGAGUGACAUCUCAUAAAGGGCUUAUAAUAAAAGUAAAUGACAAGAGUGCCACAGUCGGACGUCUGAGCGACAUCGCAUAAAGGGCUUAUAUUGAAAGUAAAAGACAAACAUGCCACAGUCGGACGUCUAAGCAACAUCGCAUAAAGGGCUUAUAUUGAAAAUAAAAGACAAACAUGCCACAGUCGGACGUCUGAGCGACAUCGCAUAAAGGGCUUAUAUUUCAUAACUUGAUAUCUCAGUAGCUCAAGAAUUUAAAUCAUUUCAAGGGCAUAAUCAGGUAUGAAAUAAGCAACAGGGUUAGUCCAACCACGGAGUAACGUUCAACCAAUUUACCACUCAAACUUGUUCACCGGGGAAAAUAUCACGAGAAUUUGACAUAGAUAUGGAUACACUGGUCACGGUCCUUGACCAUGGAUACGAUGACUCGGAAAGAUUUGACUCUGCAGAGUUUGUACUUUAACCACAGCCAACGGAUUUCAGUAGUCACUGGGACUAGUUCCGUUUACGGUGUUUUAGGAGAAAACACGUCUAACCAGUACACACCCAUUCAACAUUCCGAAGCCAGGAAUCACCCUCGGCAACGUUCAAGAAAAACUUUGAGACGGGGAGGCUACAAUCUCGCGUAGCAUGGGAUCAAAUUUAUAUACGCGCGCUCUAAGGGGUGCCCCCCUCUCGGUCCCAACCGGAAACACCCAUGCCCCCUGACCGGAUGACUGGCUUUAAUCCAGGGCCAUGGAACCCUCAUCCCGGCCCCUCCAAUUGGUGUGUACACGGAAAGAGGUUAUCAACUUACUAAACCGUAUCCUUUGCAGAAAACAUGUGGUAGCACGAAAGGGGAAGAACGGUAACGUGACUCAGUCCACGUUAACGUCGGAGUUUAUCGGACGUCGUAAGGCUGGCAUGCUACAACAAUACCACAUUACUGCCUUUCAUGUCACCACAUGACUAGGCCAUCUCUCAUCAGAGAUCACCGUAACUUCGGAACACACGGAUAGUUGCCUCACAUGCAACGAGAUACUCACUGAUGCUCAUAUGCCAUGCACAAACCAUUCAAGCAAACAUGCAAAACACCUAUCAUAUCAAAGGUUCAAACAUGCUUGCCUGGUUCGGAGAAGUCGGAGUCUAGCUCGGCGAAGUUCGCGGCUCCGUCACCUCUUCCGGAACCUACGGUAUAGCGAAAACGUAUACUAACGUGAAAAUCAUCGCGUGCAUAAAAGUUGUCCCAAAUUUUUUCCAAAUAAAUUCUGUAAAAAACUAGACAAAAAUAUAAGACUGACAGAAAAAGAAUCACUCAAAAAUCAUCUUUUAUUAAAAAUUUAUAAGGGUUUUAGUUCAGGGACUAAUCUAUGAUGAAACAGAAAAGAUCCAGGGACUUAACUGAGAAAACAGAAAAUGGUUCGGAGUAAAAGACGUCAGCCCAAAGGGAAAACGUAUUUGCCCGAAGGCGCCAACAGAAAACGGUUCGAGGGGAAAAAGAAUAGAGGCUGACGGGGGGGGGUCCACAUGUCAGGUUUGAAAACCUCGCCGGCGCCCGAAGGGUGCGGUGGUCGCCGGUGUUGAACCACGGCGAGACAGGGAGAUCGGAGGGUACCAAGAGGUUCAGCGUGUCCUUCCGCGUCGGUGGGUGGUGGACUUGGUCGUCGGAGAGCACCACGUCGACGGCGACACUUUCUUCGGCGGACGGUGGUUCGGGCGAUGGUGGAGAACUCCGGUGGGUGCUGCAAACUCCAAAUUGAAGUGCGGGUUAGAAGGGUGGAUGCAUUAGAGGGCUACUGGAAAGAGCUGAUGGUUAGAGGUGCACGCACGGGAGCGAAUCGAGCUGGGUCCCGUGGCGGGUCGCGGCGGCCGGAGUUGGGGAAGAAGGCUCCCUCGGGGCUCUUCCAGUGGCUAGGCGUGGUGUUGGAGGUGUGUAGAGGUGGUGUGGGUUCGAGUUUGAGCUCGGGGCCUCUAUUUAGAGGCGAUCCGAGGGGGUGGCCGUGAACGGGAAAUCUCCGGCGAGCGAUUACGGCGAGGCAGUGGUUGGGCAGUGGGUUUAGGAGGCUAGGCACCGUCAGUGAGAGUUACUGGUCCCGUUCCGCUGCUAAACUUGGUCGGGCUUGGCGUAAUAGCGCCGGUCCUCGACGGGGCAGCCGUACAGGCACGGCGCGGCAGAGAGCGCGCUCCGCGCCUAGCGGUUCUCGAUGAGGGUGGCAGCGCGCACGGGGGAGUGGAUGGCCACGCGGCGGCCUCCGGUGGCUUGGGCGGCGCUGGGCGGCGCCGUCCACGCUGCGCCUCUCUCUGGCGGCCGCAAAGCCGCUGCUGCCGUCGCUCACGGGGUGGCGCACUACCUCCUGCUCGUCGCCGACGCCCGCAAGCCUCCAGGCGAUCGUGCGGCGCAGAGGAUAAGGAGGAGGGGACAGGGAGCAAGGCGCCACCGCGGCACUGUCGAGAUCGACAACAAGUUCUGAAGAAAACGACAGUGUUCUCUGAAACUGUUUAUCUGAAUUUCUGAACAUGACAUUGACAGUGCUCUGCAGGUGUUCGAUGAAAUGAUUUGGCAAGGAGAAACUUUUUUCUGGAGCUGGGACUUGGUGAGGUGACCUCUCAAUGCACCCAGAGGCUGCCUGAAUUUUCUCAGAUUUUUAGGAGGAGGAUUCAAAUGAAUUUCAUCAAAUUUGGCAAAUGAGGUCCAAACUUGCAGCAAGUAUAAUUUGAAAAUUUUGAACUGGAGACCAGUGGAUCUUCAUGGAUCCUGGUUGAGGGUUCAAAGGACUAGCUAGGGAAAUUGGUUUGGAGAUAAAACUCAAAGCAGAAAGGGUAGCUCCUUUGUAAAUCUCCAAGAGCUAGAAUAGAAGGCAGAAAUAAUUUUUGAUAAGAAAUAAAUGGAAACAAAUAUAUGGAGAGGUUCAACUUGCUGGAUUUGAUGUAUAUCAUGAUCCAAAGAUGAGGAAAGGCUUUUGGGAGGGGAUUUCCACUCAUGUCAUGGCAAGAGGGAUUUUUGAAAAAGGGGAGAAGAUCACUCCAAAAGCCAUAGGGCUAUUUAAAAUAUUUUCAAAAGAAAAUUUCCCAAGUGGAAAGCAUUUGGUUUUGAGUCCAAAUGAGAAGGGAAAAACCUCCAAGAUCAAAAACCAAGUCUUGGGUGAAUCCAAAUGAAACAGUUGUCAUAAAAGGAAAUAUUUUGAGAGGGAGAGUACUUCAGAAAAUUUUUAAAUGCCCUCCCUCAAAUCCAAUAAAAGUUUGAAAAAGCCAAAUAAAAUUUUGGGUGUCACAACACCUACCCCCUUAGGAAAAAUCUCGUCCUCGAGAUUUCUGCUGAUCCUUAAAUAGAUAUGGAUACUCUGCCUGGAGAAAAUCUUCUCUUUCCCAUGUAGCUUCAUCCUCGGUGUGGUUGCUCCACUGAACCUUGAAAUUUUUUGUUGUUUUCUGAUGGGUCCUCCUUUCAGACUCUUCCAAUAUCUUCACUGGCCGUUCUCUGUAGGUGAGGUCUGGUUGCACAUCAAUGCUCUCAUGAGAUACAUGCUUCUCCGGGUUGUUCACACAUUUCCUCAACUGUGAGACGUGAAACACGUCGUGGACGUCUGACAGCUCUUUGGGUAGGUCUAGCUGGUAGGCUACCGUGCCCCUUCGGGCAAUUAUACAGAAGGGCCCAAUAAAUCUUGGGGCUAGCUUCCCCUUAAUUUUGAACCGUUGCAGGCCCCUCAUAGGAGACACUCGUAGGUAUACGGAGUCACCGGGUUCAAAGCUGACCUCACGAUGUUUUUGAUCGUAAUAGCUCUUUUGUCGGCUUUGAGCUGUCUUGAGUCUGUCCCUAAUCUGUUUAACUUUCUCCUCGGCCUCCUUGAGCGUGUCUGGGCCGAAGAUACGACUGUCACCUGUCUCUGACCAAUUUAGUGGGGUACGACACCCCCGUCCGUACAAUGCUUCAAAUGAUGCCAUUUGUAAGCUGGCUUGGUAACUGUUGUUGUAAGCAAACUCGGCAUAUGGUAAACUCUCUUCCCAACUGGAUCCAUAGGUGAGCACACAGUCUCUCAGCAUGUCCUCUAGGAUUUGGUUCACGCGUUCCGUUUGUCCAUCAGUCUGAGGGUGGUACGCUGUACUGAAAGCUAGUUGCGUGCCCAGAGCUUGUUGCAGAUGAUCCCAAAAUUUAGAGACAAAUUGAGUGCCUCGGUCGGAUAUUAUAGUCUUUGGGACUCCAUGCAAACAAACUAUACGAGAGAGAUAAAGCUUGGCAAGUCUUUGAGUGGAGUAGGUCGUCUUCACGGGAAUGAAAUGUGCUACCUUGGUUAGCCUAUCUGUGAUGACCCAUAUGGCAUCAUUUCCGCGUUGCGAUCGAGGUAGUCCGACGAUGAAGUCCAUUCCAAUUUCAUCCCAUUUCCACUCCGGUAUCCUGUUUGGCUGGAGUAGCCCUGCUGGCUUUUGAUGCUCGGCUUUUAUGCGUUGGCAAGAAUCGCAACAAGCAAUGAAUGCGGCUAUAUCCCUUUUCAUACCGUGCCACCAAAAUCCUUCCUGAAUGUCUUUGUACAUUUUGGUUCCUCCAGGGUGGAUCGAGUAUGGAGCGGUGUGGCUUUCGGUUAGGAUUUGCUGCUUGAGUUCCUCAAUGUUAGGUACGCAAAGUCUAUCCCCGUACCAUAAUAUUCCUUCACUGUUUGUGACGAACUCUGAAGCCUUGCCAAGAUUCAUUUUCCUCUUUAUACCCUCGAUGCUGGGAUGUCCCUGCUGAGCCUUCUUAAUUUGUUCCACUAGGGUGGGUUGUAUCUCCAGAUUUGAUACGGUGCCCUCAGAGACUAACACCGUGUUGAGUCUAGCGAACUCCUGCUGAAACUCAGGCCUCAAGUUCUGUGGACUGUCGCUGCUCGGGCUGGGGUUCCGACUAAGGGCAUCUGCCACUACAUUUGCUUUCCCUGGAUGGUAGUGAAUGCCGACAUCAUAGUCCUUGACCAAUUCCAACCAGCAUCGUUGGCGUAAAUUUAGCUCUGGUUGUGUGAAAAUAUAUUUAAGGCUCUUAUGGUCCGUAUAUAUUUCACAACGAUUUCCCAACAGAAAGUGCCUCCACUCCUUGAGUGCAUGGAUGACCGUUGCUAGCUCCAAGUCAUGAGUUGGAUAAUUUUCCUCAUGCUUCCGUAGUUGUCUGGAAGCAUACGCGACAACUUUGCCAUCCUGCAUCAGCACACAUCCGAGGCCCUUUCGAGAUGCGUCACAAUACACUUCAAAACUCUUGUGUAUGUCCGUCACAGUUAAGACCGGUGCAGUUGUUAGUUUCUCCUUGAGUUCUUGGAAGCUUUUCUUGCAUGCUUCCGUCCAUACAAAUUUCUUGUCUUUCUUGAGCAACUGUGUCAUUGGUUUUGCCACAGUGGAGAAUCCUUCAAUAAAUCUUCUGUAAUAUCCGGCCAUUCCAAGGAAACUCCGUACAUCUGUCACGUUGGCCGGUGGUUUCCAGUCAAGUAUGGCCUUGACUUUUUCUGGGUCUACGGCCACGCCUUCUUGGUUUAAUAUAUGGCCUAGGAAACCAACUUGCCUUAGCCAAAAUUCACACUUGCUAAAUUUCGCGUACAAUUGAUGUUUCCUUAAUUCUCCCAAAACAAUUCUGAGAUGCUCAGCAUGCUCUUCUGGUGUCCUUGAGUAUACUAGAAUAUCAUCAAUGAAUACCACAACAAAUUUGUCCAUGAAUUUCAUAAACACUUUGUUCAUGAGGUGGACGAAAUAUGCGGGGGCGUUCGUUAGUCCAAAUGGCAUUACUGUGAACUCAUAUAAUCCAUAUCUGGAGGUGAAUGCUGUUUUAGGGAUAUCUUCUGUCCGUACUUUUAAUUGAUGAUAUCCCGAUCUUAAAUCAAUUUUUGAGAACACCUUGGCUUGAGCGAGCUGGUCAAACAAAUCAUUUAUCCGUGGCAUCGGAUAUUUGUUUUUGAUGGUGACCAUAUUGAGAGCUUGAUAGUCUAUACACAAUCUCAGUGUCCCAUCCUUUUUCUUGGCGAAUAAUACUGGCGAUCCCCAAGGUGAGGAGCUGGCUCGAAUAAAUCCCUUGUCCAGUAAUUCCUUUAUCUGUUUCUUCAAUUCUACCAAUUCUGAGGGCCCAUUCUAUAAGGUUUCUUAUAGAUGGGAGUGGUGCCAGGUGCUAGUUCAAUGCUGAACUCUAUCUCUCGGUCUGGUGGCAUGCCUGGUAGUUCUUCAGGGAAUACGUCAGGAAACUCGCACACCACUGGAACUUUUCUCAGUUCUGAAAUGUCCACUUUGUUCAAUUUUGGUUGCCGUGACCGUGGUCUCUCUUGAGCUGUAACCUUUAUUGUCUUGCCGUGAUGAUGGGUGAGAAUCACAGUCCGAUUGAAACAAUCAAUAAAUCCCUUAUUGGUGGUCAACCAGUCCAUCCCUAGGAUGACAUCCAGUCCUUUAUUUUCCAACACGAUGAGAUUAGCUUGGAACUUGAGUCCUUCGAACUCAAUGAUCACUCCUUGGCAGUAACUCUGAGCGAUCUGCUUAUUUCCGGGGGACUUGAUGAUCAUAGAUUUUUCCAAAGGAAGUAUCGGAAAACCAUGUUACAAAACAAAACUCUUCGAAAUGAACGAGUGAGAAGCUCCAGAAUCAAACAAAACCGUGGCAGGUACUGUGUUGACAGGGAACGUACCGAGCACGAUGUCUGGGGCAUUCUGCGCUUCUUCUCUGGUCACAUGGUUCAGGUGACCCUUCCUGUGGUUGUUGUUGGGAUUGAAAUUGUUGCGCUUGGGGGCUGGAUUGUUCCCACCAUUGUUCGGUUUGGGGGCCGAGUUCCUUGGUUUUGGGCACUGUUUGGCAUAGUGCCCUUCUUCACCACAAGCAUAGCAAGUGACCCCUGGAUGGUAUGUAAAGUCCUUGUCCCUGGAAUGAAACUGUCUGGUUGGCCUUAGAUCAGUAGUCGUGGAUUUUCUUGCUUCAACCCUCUGAACAUCAGUCUUGCUUCGGUUGUUGCGAGCAAGAGUCAUCUUGUCCCUCUUUCGCUUACGAAUGUCUUCCAGACUGCGGCGUUCAUUCUCCAAGGUAAUGGCCUUGUCAACCAGCGUUUUAAAAUCCGGGAAAGUGUGUACGACCAGUUGGCAUCUUAGUGCCGGUGCCAGGCCGUCCAAGAAUUUUUUCCAUCCUUUUGUUCUCAGUCAUAUGUUCAUCAUAGGCAUAACGAGAUAGCUGGGUAAACUGACCGUUGUAUUCUGUCACUGACAUGCCUCUCUGCUUGAGGUCAUCAAAUUCUCUUUUCUUGAUUUUUAUGAUGCUCCUGGGGAUGUGUGCCCCACGAAAGCCUUCCUUGAACUCCUCCCAGGUGAUGUUGUGUUCACUGGGAUGCAUGUGUAGGAAGUUUUCCCACCAUGCUGCAGCUGCUCCAGUAAGGUAGUGGGGUGCAUAAAGCACCUUCUCAUGAUCUGAACACUGAGCAAUAAUCAGCUUCCUUUCGAUGUCACGAAGCCAAUCAUCGGCUUCAAGUGGCCUAUCGGUGUGAGCAAACGUUGAAGGGCGUGUCUUCUGCAGUUCAGACAACUUGGAGUGUGGUUGAUAUGGCUCACGGUGGUUCCCCAUAUUGAUGACGUGAUUCAUCAUUUCUUGGUGUUGCUGUUGGCUUUGUUCGAAAAGGCGGCAUACUUGAGAUAAGGCUGCCUUGCUGUCCUGUUGACUAGACUGUCCCUGAGUGAAGUUGUUGCUGGUCUGUGUUCCAUAAACUUCUUCUGGUUGAUUGGGCAUGGAACGAGUCCACGGACGAGACAUUUUCCACUCUGGGGUAUUAUUUAGCAAAACUCAUGAGAAGAACUGUGUGGCACACGGAAAAUCUUGCAAAGGCAAAAAUUUAAAAGACCACAAGAUUUUUCAAGAAAGCAUAAACGAUUUCGCACGGAGAAGGACCGCUUAGCACAUAUCUUACACGCGAAACACAAAUAUACGAUACAGCACUCAGGAUGUGCGUACACAUUCCUGACAUGUUAUUAGACUAGCACACUCCUCCGGAAGGCAGCGAACACAACUACUACAAACUAACGUACAGAUAAAAUACAUGCAGGCACAACGCGCGGCUACUCGGCGCUCUCAGUCGGAGAUGGUGACGAUGUCCUUCCCCUUGCUGAGGGUAAGACCCAGCGGCGCAGGAGACUCAACCUCCACCUCCUCUCUAGUAGGCUCCAGGCGUGUAGCACUACGCUGAGGUGAUGGCGCGGGUGACAGGCGGCAGUGCGGGGGCGGCCGGCGGUGCAGCUCUGACUGGAGUAGGAGCGAUGACUCGAUCGAACUCCUCAGUGGUAGGCAGACGGCGAGCAGUGGCCAAAAUGGCCGGUGCAUAAGAUGCUGAGGACGAGACGAAUGUCAGAGGCGGUGCCAUGUGGAGAAGCUCCUUCCUGCUGGCAGGACCGCCCCGGACUAAGUCCAUGCGGGCAGCCACAAGAUCGUCCACGAGGUUGUCGAAAGAUUCCUCCAGAGCUUUGAGGUACUCAACAACCAUCUCGAUGGCUUCAUCUCGCUCUCCCCUAUGGCAGGCGAAUGCAUAAUGACAAGUAUAUGGCACAUGGCAUGGGAGGUAGCGGUAGCGACGAGUCUUCAUCAUAGGGAGAAUGUCCCGAAGGCGAG